Molecule: long non-coding RNA, 71428 nt
Filed under: Triticum aestivum (bread wheat)
Lineage: Eukaryota; Viridiplantae; Streptophyta; Magnoliopsida; Poales; Poaceae
Description: long non-coding RNA (TAES_LNC003162)
Source: RNAcentral
UAGGCACUUGCAAAGUAUCCCCGUUGUAAUAUCUAGACCAAUCUCUGCCAGUAAAUUAAUGUGAUAUUUCCCCUGGUUUGAUCAUUGUUCUUGUAUUUGUGACUUCCUCUUAUGUAAGUAGAGGUUGUGUAGCUAUCAAUUAUUUAUCUGUUUUGGGUGCUUUUGUCGAGGUACACGAGCUAUUGAUGAACUGGAAUCGUAUGCAGUUUAUGGUAGUUCUGUAUUUGGGCUCAUCAUGUUCCACGUAAUGCUUAGUGACCCGGAUAUUCAAAAUGGAGCAUGAUAAAAAUCCCAACAUAACAAACUAGAAACCGAAAUCACUAAUUGAUUGCAACCUGUGAGUUUUCUCUUUCUUCUAGAUUUGUUUAUUCAAACAUUUUAUCUAUUAAACCGUACGUUCAAAUCUCGCACCGCUUUCAUAGUUGGAUUCCUUGCGUCAAGUGUUUCAAAGCUAUAACCUAUGUUGGUAGGUUUUAAUGUGCUUUCAUUUUCAAGAAAAAAAUCAGUAGUAAAAACCGGACAAAAAAUUGAACCGGGAGCAUACUUUUUUCCUUUAUGAAAGAGGCAUGGCCGUGCGUCUCGUGAAAUCACAACCGUGUCUCUCACGAAAGAAAAAAAAUAAAAUAAAAAACGUAUUUUUUUUGUUUUUGAGAGGCACAGUUCGCGAAAGCACAACUAUGCCUCUCGCUGAAGUAAAAUCGUGCCUCUCGCGGAAGGAAAAGAAAGCAGAAAACAUGUUUUUUUCGUUUUCGAGAGUGUGCCUCUCGCGAAAGCAAAACUGUGCCUAUCAGGGAAACAAAAUCGUGCUUCUCAGGAUGAAAAAACCCAGAAAACACGCUUUUUUUGUUUUCAUUUUUGAAAGGCUCAUUCGUGCCUCUCGCGAAAGCAAAACCGUGUCUCUCGCGGAAAUAAAACCGUUCCUAUGAUAGAAGAAAAAAAACAUGUUUUUUUCGUUUUUGAGAGGCAUGGUUGUGCUUCUCUCAAAAGCAAAAACGUGCCCCUCGCAGAAGCAAAAUCGUGCCUCUGGUGGAAGAAAAAAAACAUGUUAUUUCGUGCAAAAUAAAUUUUAUUUCUCAAAAUUUUUUGUCCCAAAAGCUAAGGAAGACCGGUUGAAAACCAAAACAUCAAAAAAAUCCAGAAAAACCCGUUUAAUAAGUCGAAAACCCGUGCAAAAAAAUAUUCGAAUGAAGCGCCCAGAGCGCGACACGUGGCGGGCGGCUGAGAGCGCCCCAAGUGACGCUAAUCGUUGUGAGGCUCCGAAGGAGCAUUUGUCAACUAGUUGCUCCCAUUAGAAACGUUUCUGGAAAAACCAAAGUAGAAACCUCAUCUACCUCUCGCUCGCGUCAUCUCUUCUAGGAGACCCAGGGGCCCCAAAACCUAGUGUCGCCAGGCCCAUCCAUCAACUGCUCCCCUCCCAUCGCUGCUAGCGGCCUUUGCUGCGGUGGUGGCGGCCCCAGUUCCUCAAGGGGAUGGGGGACCUCUGACGGUAGCUUAGGGCUUGGUGGAUCGUGGGUCCCGAGGCGGUGGUUUCGUUUUUCGCGGCGACGGUAGCUGCUAUGGCCGCUAGAACGGUGUGCUGGUCAUGCUUAGGCGUCGGUGUCAGCGUCGUUGCUUUCGGGGGUCGCCUUGAAGAGCAUUGGAUCCUGUUUGUGCGCUUCAUGGCUGGACGCUUGCGGCAUUGUGGCUGACAAGUGUUCGUAUGUUGUGUGACUUCUUGUCUGGCAAUGAUGGCGACUUCGGGCGGAAUUGGGCUGUAAUCGAGCUUUGGUGGUCGGUCUCAUCGGAUGUGUUCGAGGGGUCGCCGUGCAUCAUUUGUCUUCCUGAAGUCAGAGCUACAAAGACGGUGCCCCACGGUGAUGAUAACAUGAGACGGGUGGUCGGUUCCCAUGCCGGCUCGGCGUAGGCUCAACGCUUUUCCCCUGCAAUGCUCAUCGACAGAGUUGGAGUUGUAUGUUCAUCGGCGCGUGCGAUUGACUGUUUGGCAUCGGCCGCCCAGGCGUCUGUGCUUGUUUGAGGUGGGGGCUACAUCGGUGGUCAUUGAUGGUUGAGUCGGAGUCGUCCUCACGAAGGAGUAAUAACGAUGACACUGAAAUGCAACCUCGCCGGCAUUUGUCUCCUCGAUGGUGCGUGUGCAUUCUUGUAUGGAUUGCCAGGUUACCCCGUAUGCCUUGUUUUUGCAGGCAUAAUGUAACAGAUUUGCCCUAUUUUCCAUUAGUUAGUCGGGCAUCUCUCUUCUUGCUUGAUGAAUUCUAGACCCUUGGGACCGGCUUAAAAAAAUGUAGCUUGAUCUCAUAUGUACCCAGAUGAAUCGGUGGAUCACUGAUUUUGCCUUUUUCGUAGAGGACUACGAAUAUCAGUUCUUCAUUAAAAUGCGUAUAUAGUUUUUUUUAGAGUACGCCUAAACGUAUCAUAUUUUAAUAGAAGGCAGAAGACAAAUAUAAAAAAAUACAACUUGUUACGAAUAACAAGUGUAGUUGAAAAUCUACACCCAAGCUAAUCAAACGAUUAGUCACCGCAACUAAUACAAACACAACACAAAGGGGCAUGCCCUAAACAGAUCGUCAAGCCACAUCUUGACAUGCACCAGACACUUCGAAGAGCAACAAUUUCAACGGAGCUUUUUCCUUGUCUGCGCACCAACCACCCUUUAAUGCCUAAGAGGAGACUACGAGUGGGUAGUGGCAUUCAGCCGGACCCGAGAAAGCCAUCGUCUUGGACUCACUGGCUGUUGCUUAAGCGCCCAUGAAGAUCAACUCAAACCAGCGACAAGCACCGGAGAACCAGUGCAAAGAACCUCCAAGUCAUGUCUUCAUAGACGAUGCUCCCAACAGAGUAACGCCACCAUCGCCGGUCCGGCAACGAACCUAGGCUUUCACUCGGAGACAACAAUUCGCUGAGAGGAGUGAUGGCGACACACCCUAAAGACGUCUCCAAGGAGGGAGACGAUACCGACGGGCGCCGUCGCCGCCAACACCAAUCGAAGAUGUGCACGAUUUUCAUCCGUAACGUCGUAGAUCUUCCCCCAUCCCAUUGGAUUGCGGCCAUAUUGUGCAUGUAGUGUCACAUAGCUGCCGCCGCAACACCUCGUCAUCGUGGCCAUAGCGCGGCGAAGCACCAACACCCCGCACGGCGGAGGAAAUGCAUUCUGAUAAGGACAUCUCUGCCACAGUUGCACCCACCGUGAUUCCUACAUCAGUUAUUUCAUCUAGACCUAUGACUAGAGCACGCGCGAGACAGAUAAAUGGCUAGAUACUAUCGCUUCUCUGUACAUAUGAUUUAACUAACGAGAAUGUGAUAUUACACUCAUGUUCGGAUUUACUUGUACUUAGGAACGAAGGUGUUGAAGAGAUGACGAGGGAAAGCCGCAUGCAAAUGAAAGAUGGAAAAUGUUGCAUGUUGAUUCCACAAGCAGCAACACUAUUGACAUGCAAGAAGCUAUCUAGCCACCUACGUGCUCAAGUGCAACAGGAGGAGGAAGAGUAUUAGGCCUCCUGGACCAGAGACGGCCACGUUCGCAUGCAGCCCACACCACUAACAGUUAAACAAGGAAAUCAUCUACAUGUGGGCCGGCUCAUGAUUAUGAUCUCCUUCGAGUCGUAGCCGACCAGGAUUCAUCCACGCGCAGGCGGUGGACGCGCCUAAUAAAUAGUUAGCUUGUAUUACGUUUAGACUCGAGUUUUAUUGUAUUGUUUAGCCAUCGCUAUAAUUUCGCAUCUACGAGAUGUGUGAAACUACCGUCUUGUCAGAUCCGUAGUGAAACCCUAACUUUUGAUCUAGUUCGUGUGCUUAAUUUUGAUCUAGUUUAUGUGCUUAAUUUUUCAUCCGCAAUUUCAGAUUACAAUUCACCUUUAUUCUUGUUGGUUCUUCGGUUGCUUGCUGGAACUCGAACCUCGUUAUUCAGGUUGAUCGUGCCUACGACAAUCUCAAUAACUAUCGGAGAUUGGUUUAGCGAUUGUCGCGGCGUUUCGUCGGGUACGGUAUAGCUGGAUCGUCAACGUCAAAAUCCAUCAAAUUGAUAGUUAUCCCCACUCUUAUCGAAAGAUCGGGCCGCCGUCACAUCAAGUGGUAUCAGUUUUUGGGUUUAUCAGUGAGAGAUUUACAGUUUUAGUAGAUUAGUUUAUUUUUCCGUCCUAUAAACCCACGAAAAAGCCAAAAAAGAUUAAAUUAGUUCAUCCGCCGCACCUAUCUUUUUAGCCUUUAGCAAUUUUUGCAAUUUGCGUAGUUUAAUUUUUGGUUGCAUUCAUCCUAGAAUUAGUGCUGGUUUAGAUUAGUUGGGGAAGAAAAUCAUUUACUAGAUCAAUCUGCUUUUGUCCACCCUCAUAUUCUCUAUCGCAAUGCGUUCUCAGUCAAAAAAAAGAGACAUAUAGCGAACCAGGCACUAAUUUCCAUUGCAGAUUCCCGCACGUACAUCGACCCAUCCAUACAGGCUUUCUGUUUCGCGAGCGGCCAGACAACCCGGCACAUUGUGUUUGCUGCCUCGCGCCGCAUCACCACAGGCUAACAUGCCAGCCGCCGGACAUCCCACGCUGGUUGUCCGACUCCACGCGUGCCACCACAAAUCUCCUCCGGCUAUUCCUGUGCAUUACACACUAGUAGUACUACUCCUAGCUAAUCUCGACUCUAAUACACUUCUAACUACUCCUUAGGCUGGUCAUAAUGGGCAAGAACAUAAGCUAGUAACUUCACACUUCUCUAGACUAUGUUACUACCACCAUAGUGGGUAGGAACAUCUAUGUAGUGUCGUGCAACGAUGUAUUUAUUAGGUUAUAGACUCAUUGUUUUUUGGAGUGUGUGAUGUUCCGGUAACUUAGCUAGUUACCACAAGCACCUCUCUCUUCACUAAAUACGUGCCACAUAAGCAAAGUUGUAUUGGAGUGUGUGAUGUUACUCAUAAAUUCCUCCCCACUGUGACCAGCCUUAGCACUUUGUUCAGUAGCUUUGCAUUUUUUUCUCUCUCUCUCAUGACUUGAAUUCUGUCCGUGAUUUUGCUAGUAGCCGGCCUAAAAAAAGCAAAAAAAGAGCAAAAAAAGUAAUAAAAAUAGUGAAAAAAAACAAACAAGGCCGCUUACAUAUGUUGAGAUUAAUCUCUUGCAAUUGAUAUUAUGGACAUUAUUUUGUUGCUCCAACCACCACAUCAUAUCAUUUGUAUCUGCUGGAGCCUUGUUCUUUAUCUGUGUGUCCCUCGCUACUUCAAUUAUCACAUAUCUUUGUUCAUGCGGUUUCAUUUACUUGUUUCAGUAUCUGGGCUUAGAUUAUUUCAUCUCUUACUAGUCGACUACCAGCACCAUUAGGAGUUUGAGCAAUUAUUCAACUUGCAUUACGUUUUGCUUAAUUUUGCCACAUAUUGUGAGUUGAGGAAACCUUCACCAAGCUCCACUCCCUAUAUUGUACCUUGUUCGGUCACUUAGUAAUCGCUAUAUCAAUCUUUUGAUAACUUUGUCAUAGCCAACGGCCGACAACCACUGCAACACAGUAAAAGCUGUUAAGAGCUUGGUAAUUGCUCGAGAGCCGAGGGACAUUUUCCACCGCCUGAUCGUAGUUACUGUAGGAGCAAUAUACUUGUGAUUUUGUUCUUGUUUCAUCCUAACCAUGGCAGGUGAUGAAGACAACAUGAAAGCUAUGGUGGCACGCCUGGAGGAGGAUGUGCAUGCAUACACCGAGCGGUUCACAUCGUUCGAGGGCGCACUUGAUAAGCGUCUCAAGUCGAUCGAGGAUAGCAACGUUCACUCAAACACUUGCAUCUAUUAUGAAACGUCUCGAUGCCCUUCUGGGUGCCGCCUCCACUGCCGGUCCGCGCCUUAUAGCCACCAACACAGGUCUACAAUGAGGUUGUCGGGUGCUCCCAGGGGACCCGAUGCACCCUCUUUCAUACAGUGAUGCCAUCGACCAGCCCCGUCCUUGCAACGCCAACUCGAUAGCCAGCCCGCAUGAGGACAUCCAAGAUGGCAACUAUGUUGGUGAUUCUGACGAUCUUGAUGUAGUUAACACUAACAAUGAUCAUGAUCAUCAUCCACUACGCAAUAAUCAACAAGGUAUGGGAUGCCACUAGCGUCCUCAGGUAUGUGGCCAUGACGACUCUUUGGGUAGAAUUAAAUUUGUCAUGCCUCCUUUUGACGGAAAAUAUGAUCUGGAUGUUUAUCUUGACUGCGAAUUAUUAGUUGAUCAAAAAUUUGCUUGCCAUGAUUUUCCUGAUGAUAAAAGAGUUAGGGCUGCAACUAGUGAGUUUAGUGAUUUUGCUUCUGUUUGGUGGAGAGAACAUUGUUGUGAACAUCCUAAUAAUAUUCCUUCCACUUGGGAAGUUUUGAAAUUAAUAAUGCGUCACCGUUUUGUUCCUAGACAUUAUGAACGUGACUUGCUAAAUAAACUACAACGCUUGAACCAAGGAUCUAAAUUUUUGGAAGACUAUUAUCAAGAAUUGGAAAUGGGCAUGUUACAUUGUGGUUUAGUUGAGACCGAGGAAGCCUCUAUGGCUAGGUUCUUGGAUGGAUUGAAUAGAGAAAUAUAUGACAUACUUGCUUAUAAGGAUUAUAAUUCAAUGACCCAUUUAUUCCAUCUUGCUAUACAUGGUGAACAUGAAGUGCAGGGUCGCUCGAGAAUGCGUUCUAAUUUUUCUGCAGGUCGUACUUCCACAUGGGCACCGUGCACCACUGCUACCCCGUCCACUCGACCUCUAGAACAACACCUGCAACCUCUCGACCGGGCCUACUUCAUCAACUUCAGCAUCACACACUUCGGCACCAUUGAAAAGUACUACACCAACUCCAACAAAAAAUUUGUCAUCAUCGUCCGCUUCCUCCAAAAGAACAAACGUUAUCCAGUGCCACACUUGUAAGGGAUUUGGCCAUGUCAUGAAGGAGUGUCCUAAUAAGCAUGUAUUGAUCAUUCGUGAAGACGGCAAGUACGACUCUGCUAGUGAUUUUGAUGAAGACACAUAUGCCUUGCUUGCUGCGCAUGAAGACGAUGACACAAGACUGGCGCAAGAGGAAGAACAUGUGAUCACCACCGCCGCCGAUAAGCACAUGAGUCUUAUAUCACAUCGUGUACUUAGUGCUCAUAUUGUCAAAGCAAAGAAGGCAACGUCACAACCUCUUCCACAUCAAAGGAGUCGUCAAGGAGCAUUCCGUUCGGAUAAUCAUUGAUGGAGGGAGUUGUAACAAUUUAGCAAGCAUUCACAUGGUGGAGAAGCUCUCCCUACCUUCCCUGACAACAUCCACAACCUUACUACAUUCAAUGGUUUAAUGAUGGUGGAAAGUUAAAGGUAACACGCAUGGCGAGAGUUCCUUUUUCUUUAGGUUCGUACCAUGACCCUAUUAAUUGCAAUAUUGUGCCUAUGCAAGCUUGUUCUAUGUUACUAGGAAGGCCAUGGAAGUAUGAUAAACAAUGUUUACAUGAUGGUAGAACUAAUCAGUACACUCUCACACAUAAAGGAAAGAAAAUCAUUCUACACCCUAUGUCUCCUGAGCAAAUUUUUAAAAGAUGGUCUUGCUAGGGCUAGUAGAAUUACAAAUACUGAGCAUACUAAAUCUGAAAAUCAGAAAGUUGUUGAUGAUGUGAACAAUUUAAUAAGAUGCACAAAUCUGAUCCUAGCACAUUUAAAGAAAUUAAAUUGAAAGGUGCUUCUUUCUUAGCUACACAUGCUGAAAUGUUUGAGUUAGAUGCUCAUACUGAUGAAUGUUAUGCUCUUAUUUUCAAGAAGUUUUGUUUUGAUUUGAGGAUAUGCCUUCUUCUUUGCCUCCUGCUGUCGCUAAUCUUUUGUAGGGGUAUCAUGAUGUUUUCCCAAAGGAAAUACCACCGGGGCUGCCACCUAUGAGAGGAAUUGAACACCAAAUGGACUUGAUACCUGGCGCCUCAUUACCCAACCGUGCACCGUACCAAACUAAUACAGAGGAGACUAAGGAGAUUUAGUGACAAGUUCAAGAACUACUCGAAAAAGGUUACAUUCGUGAAUCCCUUAGUCCAUGUGCUGUACCAAUUUUACUUGUUCCUAAAAAGAUGGUACUUCACGUAUGUGUGUUGAUUGUAGAGCCAUCAAUAAUAUUACAAUUCGAUAUCGUCAUCCUAUUCCUAGAUUAGAUGACAUGCUUGAUGAACUCAGUGGCUCAGUUGUGUUUUCUAAAGUGGACUUGCGUAGUGGCUACCAUCAAAUUCGUAUGAAACCAGGUGAUGAAUGGAAAACUGCUUUCAAAACUAAAUUUGGUUUAUAUGAGUGGUUAGUUAUGCCUUUUGGAUUGACUAAUGCACCUAGUACUUUCAUGGGACUAAUGAAUGAAGUUUUGCAAGCUUUCAUUGGAUGAUUUGUGGUAAUAUACUUUGAUGAUAUUUUGAUUUAUAGUAAGUCACUAGAGGAACACUUAGACCAUUUGCGUGCUGUUUUUUCUACUCUGCGUGGUGCACAUUUAUUUGGUAAUAUCAAGAAGUGCACUUUUUGCGUGGAUCGAGUUGCUUUUCUUGGCUCUGUCGUGACAGGCAUGGAAUUGAAGUUGAUAAAGCAAGGUUGAAGCGAUCCAGAGUUGGCUGAUCCCUAACUCGGUCACACAGGUAUGAAGUUUUCUUGGACUUGCUGGGUUCCACCGGCGGUUUGUGAAGGAUUUUAGUACCAUCGCAGCGGCGCUCAACGAGCUCACAAAGAAAAAUGUGCCAUUUGUUUGGAGCGACGCACAAGUGGUAGCCUUCACUAUUCUUAAAGAUAAGCUUACACAAGCCCCCUUGCUGCAAUUACCUGAUUUUAAUAAGAUGUUUGAAUUAGAAUGUGAUGCUAGCGACAUUGGUUGAGGCGGUGUUUUAUUUCAAGAAGGCAAACCAGUAGCAUAUUUUAGUGAAAAAGUCAGUGGGCCUAGUUUCAAUUAUUCAACAUAUGAUAAAGAACUUUAUGCACUAGUUCGGACUAUGGAGACAUGACAACAUUAUAUAUGGCCUAAGGAGUUUGUCAUAUAUUCCGAUCAUGAAUCACUCAAGCAUAUUAGAAGUCAAAGAGAAUUGAAUCGUAGACAUGCAAAAUGGGUUGAAUUUAUUGAAUCUUUUCUUUAUGUUAUUAUAAGAACAAGAAAGGGAAGGAUAAUGUUAUUGCCGAUGCAUUAUCUAGACGCUAUACCAUGUUAUCACAACUAGACUUCAAAUUUUUCGGACUUGAAACUAUAAAAGUGCAAUACACUAAUGAUGUCAAUUUUAAAUAUAUAUUGCUCAAUUGUAGAGAGGGUAGAACUCGGAACAAGUUCAUCGUUAGUGACGGAUUUGUUUUCGUGCUAAUAAGCUAUGAAUCCCAGAUAGCUCUGUUCGUCUUUUGUUGUUACAGGAGGCGCAUGGAGGUGGACUUAUGGGACAUUGUGGCAUCAAGAAGACAUAAGACAUCCUUGCUGGUCAUUUCUUCUGGCCGAAAAUGAGAAGGGAUGUGGAGAGAUAUGUUGUACACUGCACGACAUGCCAAAAAGCUAAUUCACGAUUGAACCCACAUGGUUCAUAUAUGCCUCUUUCUGUUCCUAGCACUCCUUGGGAAGAUAUAUCUAUGGACUUUGUAUUAGGGCUGCCUAGGACACAACGGGGGCGGGAUAGUAUAUUUGUGGUUGUUGAUCGAUUCUCUAAGAUGGCACAUUUUAUACCUUGUCAUAAAAGUGACGAUGCUACUCACGUUGCUGAUUUGUUCUUUGGAGAAGUAGUUCGUUUACAUGGUGUGCCAAAUAUAAUUGUUUUUGAUCGUGACACAGAAUUUCUUAGCCACCUUUGGAGGGUGUUGUGGACAAAAUUGGGGACUAAGCUUUUAUUUAGUACUAUAUGUCAUCCUCAAAUAGAUGGUCAAACUGAAAUGGUUAAUCGAAUAUUGUCUACUAUGCUUAGGGCUGUUUUGGAAAAGAACUUAAAAAUGUGGGAAGAAUGUUUACCUCAUGUAGAGUUUGGUUAUAAUCGUUCAGUUCAUUCUAGCACAAAGUUAUUCCCUUUUGAGAUUGUUUAUGGAUUUAUACCUCAGUCGCCUAUUGAUUUAUUACCUAUUCCAUCUUCGGAGAAGGUAAACCUUGAUGCUAAAGAACGUGCUGAGCUAGUAUUGAAAAUGCAUGAGAUGACUAAGAAAAUUAUUGAAUGCAUGAAUGAUAAGUAUAAACUUGCUGGUAGUCAGGGUAGGAAAAGUCUUGUGUUUGAACCAAGUGAUUUAGUAUGGUUACAUUUGCGAAAAGGCCGCUUCCCUGAUUUACGGAAGUCAAAAUUAAUGCCUCGUGCGGAUGACCCUUUUAAGGUGAUAGAAAAAAAUAAUGAGAAUGCGUGUAAGCUUGAUUUGCCUGCAGAAUUUCGGGUUAGUCCCACAUUUAAUGUUGUGGACUUAAAACCUUAUUUGGGAGAGGAUGAGAGUUACCGUCGAGGGCGACUUCGGUUCAAGAAGGGGGAGUUGCAUCCACCGCGACUCCUACAUCAGUUAUUCCAUUUGGACCUAUGACUAGAGCACGCGCCAGCCAGAUAAAUGGCCAGGUGCUAUCGCUCAUUUGUACAUAUGAUUUAACUAACGAGAAUAUGAUAUUACACUCAUCUUCAGAUUUACUUGUACUUAGGAACGAAGGUGUUGGAGAGAUGACGAGAAAAAGCCGCAUGCAGAUGGAAGAUGGAAAAUGUUGCACAUUGAUUCCACAAGCAGCAGUACUAUUGACAUGCGAGAAGCUACCUAGCCACCUACGUGCUCAAGUGCAAAAGGAGGAGAAGGAAUAUUAGGCCUCCUGGACCAAAGACGACCACAUUCGCAUGCAGCCCACACCACCAACAGUUAAACAAGGAAAUCAUCUACAUGUGGGUCGGCUCAUGAUUAUGAUUUCCUUCGAGUCGUAGCCGACCAGGAUUCAUCUACGCGCAGGUAGUGGCCGCACCUAAUAAAUAGUUAGCUUGUGUUAUGUUUAGACUCGGGUUGUAUUGUAUUGUUUAGCCAUUAUUACAAUCCGCUCUAUGAGAUAUGUAGGACUACUGCCUUGUCAGAUCCACAGUGAAAUCCCAACUUUUGAUCUAGUUCGUGUGCUUAAUUUUUCAUUCGCAAUUUCAGAUUGCAAUUCAUCUUUGUUCUUGCCGGUUCUUUCAUUGCUUGCAAGAACUCAAACCUUGUUGUUCAGGUUGAUCGUGCCUACGGCAAGGUCAAUAACCAUCGGAGAUUGGUUUAGCGAUUGUCAAGGCGUAUCAUUAGGUACAGUAUAGCCGGAUCGUCAAGGUCAGAAUCCACCAAAUUGAUAGUUAUCCUCACUCUCAUCGAAAGAUCAGGCCACCGUCACAUCAAGUGGUAUCUGUUUUCGGGUUCAUCGGGGAGGGAUUUGCAGUUUUAGUAGAUCAGUUUAUUUUUCUGUCCUAUAAACCCACGAAAUGGCCAAAAAAAUUUAGAUUAGUUCAUCCAUUGCAACUAUCUUUUUAGCCUUUACCAAUUUUUGCAUCUAAUAUUUGCGUAGUUGAAUUUUUGGUUGCAUUCAUCCUAGAAUUAGUGAUGGUUUAGAUUAGCUGGGAGAGAAAAUCAUCUACUAGAUCAAUCUGUUUUUGUCCACCCUCAAAUUCUCUAUCACAACGCUCGUCCUCAGUAAAAAAAGAGAAUAUAGCGAAUCAGGCAUUGAUUUUCAUUGCAGAUUCCCGUAACCCAACCAUACAGGCUUUCCGUUUCAUGACCGGCCAGACAACUGGGCACAUCGUGUCUGCUGCCCCGCGCCGCAUCACCACAGGCUAACACGCCAGCCGCCAGACAUCCCACGCUGGUUGUUUCACUCCACGCGUUUCACCACAAAUCUCCUUCGGUUAUUCCUAUGCGUUACACACUAGUAGUACUACUCCUAGCUAAUCUCAACUCCAAUACACUUCUAGCUAGCUCCGUAGCACUUUGUUCAGUAGCUUUACAUUUUUUUCUCUCUCUUGUGACUUGAAUUCUAUCCGUGAUUUUGCUAGCAGCUGGCCUAAAAAAAAAGCAAAAAACAGAGCAAAAAAAGUAAUAGAAAAAAACAGUGAAAAAAAACAAACAAGGCCGCUUACACGUAGUAGCCACUCCCUCCGCACUGUCAACACGUGCUACACCACAGGACCACACAACAGCCAGCCCUGACGGUUGUUCACCUGGCCGAAUGCCCCUGGCCCACUGCACGGCCUAACCAGUAUCGUCGGUGAUGGCCAGGGGAGCAUGGGAGGAGGGUCCUGAGCGGCUAAGUUUACUCCUCCAAUGCCUCCCCCGCAAGCGGCUCGGGAGGGAGACAUGAAAGGGGAAAGAGCUUGUAUGGGAUCUGGUAAACGUGUACAUAGUUAGAACACACAAGCAUGCUUGUUCAAAAAAAAGUCUCAUUUUCAAAAAAUUUAGCAAGCUUGUUCUAAAAAAGUCUCAUGUUUAUACUAUUUUCAUAUUUACUGUUCAACUCGGUUUAUAUGAGCUGGGGAGCGAAAGGCCUGCUCUGUUUUGGAUGCUAUUCUCUGUUCAGUAAUGUGGUAGCUCAUGCAUUUGGCUUGGGAGUGAGAAAUGUGUAGAUCAUGGUUUGCCACACAGGCUAACACGUGGAUAUUGCCUUGGAAGAUCUUAGAGAUUACUAGAAGCAAAUGUGGCCCUUGCCGCGCCGCUCUUCUUGUGGGACCUAUCUUUUACCGUGUUGAGUCCGGGUCACUGAUGGCUGAUCACCAAGCGAUGAAUGAAGAGUUUUUCCAAGGAUACGUCAAAGAUUGAUGUAUCGAGAUCAUAGAUAGAAAAUGCCUAGAAAGGCAGACAAUUUUACAACUUAGCCACGGCUAUGAAAGCCAAUGUUUGACAUGCCGAUUACUCACUAGUAGCCCACUCAUCUACUCUAACAGGGAGUGAUCCCGCCUCUCGAAGUAGCCCUGCUGCCCUCCAGUCUUGCCCUUCUAGAUCAAUCUUCUUGAGGAGCUCACUUGUGGAGGCCGCCGCUCCAUUGAACACUACAUCGUUCCUGUGCUUCCACAACAUCCAAGCCACCAAUGCAAUGAUGGUCCAUGUCUCCUUACUAAGUUUUGGCUGCGGGUUAACGGAGGUCCACCAUUCCACUAGAUUGCCAUCUACCCUUGGAAACCAAGUUAGUUUGUCCUACUGGUCGAGAAUGGAGAGCCACACUUGUCUAGCAAAGACGCAGCCGAGAAGGAUGUGAUUGAUUGUCUCCGGCUCUUGUUCACAGAAGGGGCAAGUUGAAGGAUGCGGUAGGUGCAGACGCACAAGCCUGUCAACCGUCCAACACCUCUCCCGAGCCGCCAGCCACGCGAAGAAAUUGCACGUCGCCAUCGCUCUUGACCGCCAGAUUUGCAUGGCUCCAGCGGCCUCCACUCUCCCAACAAAGAACACCCGGUAGGACGAUCUCGCCGAAAAGCACCCAUUUUGUUCCCACGCCCAGACCAAUCUGUCUUCAGUGCCAUCCAUGAGCUGAAUGUGUUGGGUUAUGUCCACAACCUGUAGGAACUCGGUCAGUGGUUGGGGGCUCAUGUUAGGUGACAUGUCUAGCCACCAACCUUCAGCUAUGGCUUGUCUCACUGUUCUCUCCCACGCUCUCCUUUGACUGCAGCGAAUAGGUUUGGCAUGAGAUCUUGGAUUCUACCAUCCCAUGACCACCAAUCUGUCCAGAACAAUGCUAGCUUUGCUUUGAGCGCUGCGUUGAGAAGGCACAAGUUUAGAAUGCCAAGGCCGCCGUACUCCAUUGGCAUGCACACCUAAUCCCAUGCCACUAGACAAUGACAGCCAUGUACAUCUCGAUGUCCCUUCCACAGAAAACCGAGGCAUAUCUUAUUUGCUGCUUCGAUGGUUUUCUCUGGCAGAUCUAGAGCCACCAUCGCAUGUAUGGGCAUGGACGCUAGCGUGGUCUUUACUAGAUCCAGACGCCCAGCCCUGAAGAGCAGUCUCGCUUGCCACGCGAGAAGCCGACCGGUCAUUCUAUCCACCAAGUGCUGCAAUUGCGAUGCCGAUAUCUUGCGCAAGCCCAAAGGCAUCCCGAGGUACCGGCAAUGCCAUCCGGUCACCUGGAAUCCCAACUGAUCGGCUAUCCACUGCACUAGCACCUCGAACAACAAAUCGGGUGUGCGGAACACUUAACCAUUUUCGUGCGAAGUCCCGAGCUGUACCAAAAUCUGUGAGCAACACAACACAUGCCCUAAGGCUUCGGCGUUCUGGCUUGAGAAAAGUGACUACAUCAUCCACAUAUAUUGUUGUCCUGUGCCAUAGCCCGGCUGGUGCAAGUGGAGUGAGCACACCAUCUGAAGCCGCACGUUGAAGUAGGUGGUGAAGGGCCUCCAUGACCAUAACAAAAAGCAGGGGGACAUAGGGUCUCCCUGCCGGAGAUCUUGCCAGUUAUAUAUGACCUCGCCUGGUAUUUCAUUGAGCAGUACCCUUGUUGAGGAGGAUGCAAGGAGACCGGCUACCCAAGAAAACCAUUUUGGGCUGAACCCAAGUUGCUUCAAAACCUCCAUCAAGAACGCCCAGUCCACAGUGUCAAAUGCUUUUGUGAUGUCUAGCUCAAGCAUGACCGAAGGUGUCGAGGAAAUAUGUAGCUUCUUUGCCAUGCCUUGUACCAUCAUGUAAUUAUCAUGUAGGCAUCUUCCUCUAAUGAAUGCACUCUGGUGAGCACCGACCAAGUGUGGCAUAUCGCCAAUAACCCGUGUCACUGGGACCUUGGCAGCCAGCUUGGGGAAGCUAUGAAUUAGGCUGAUUGGGCUGUAAUCCUCGACCUCAAGCGCGGUGGCAGAUUUUGGCAAAAGAGUGAUGAAUGUCUGAUUAAUGGAAGUCAUCCUACGAAAGUCUAUGGCCCCAAAUGAAUGGAAAGCUGCCAACACAUCGCCCUUAAUGACAAGCUAACAUGCGACAGAGAACCGGGCCGAGAACCCGUCCGGGCCCGGCGCCUUGUCGAAGUCUUGCACACGGAUCGCCUCCCAAAUCUCCUCAUGUGUGAACAAUCCCUCCAGAUGUGUCAUGUUAAAAGUUAGCAUUCCUAGCUCUCCUAGGUCCAGCGUGUAUGCCCGGUCCGGCGCCACUCCAAGCAGAUUGGCAAAAAAGGAGUCUACCGCCUCUGCAAUAGCGUCGUGAUCCCACGUCAUGAUGUCAUCUACUUUCAACUUUGAAAUGUAGUUCUUCCAUGUCCUAUAGCUUGCAUGCGCAUGAAAAAACUUUCGUGCAUGCGUCUCCAUUUCUCAACCAAUUAAAACGGGACCACUGCCUCGUGAUUGAGCGCUCUAGCGAUGCUAAUCUGAGGAGUUUCCGCUUGAUCAUUCGCCGUAGUUCCAUCUCAGUAGGGGAUAGCGAUCGUGUCUCCAUGGCGACAUCAAGCCGCAAAAUCACCUCGUUUGCAAUGGUCAACUGUUGUUUGAUGCUUCCCACAUAUUUAUCACUCCAGCUCAUCAGUUUGUUUGCGGUGGCCUUCAGCUUCAUAGAAAGCCUCUUGAAUGGGUUUUCCACGUCCGGAUGGCUCUCCCAGGCUUAUUGAACCACCUCAUGGAAGCCUUCAAUCUUUGUCCAAAAUUUCUGAAAGUGAAACCGCUUGCCUCGUCGAAGGUCGGCCUCCAGGAUGAUAUGUAGGGGGCAGUGAUAAGAUGUGCUAGUACUGAGAGCUGUGAGGAAAGACUGCAGGUGUAAUGGUUCCCAAUCUAUCGAAACCAAAACCCUAUCGAGCUUCUCGAGGGUAGCCUCUUGCCUGUCAUUGGACUACGUGUAUCUCCGGCCAUUGAGAUAUAGAUCUUUUGGGUCCAAGUCCGAGAUGUAGCGUCUAAACCGUCCCAUCAUCUGACGAUUUAUUCUUUCGUUCACUACGGCAGGAUGGUCCAAACGCUACAGUCCACUCAGAGACCCUUCGAUGAAACUGUGUGUGAUGCAUUAAUCGCAAACGAUGAUGUAAAAUAACCAAAAAAAUGAUACAAAAUGUUUGUGAUGGUGGAGACAUCAAAUACGAUCUAGAUUGUAGUAGCGUGUGUAAUAUGUGGCAUAUGGUUAAUCCAGAAGAACUGUUUGCGAUGAGUCAGAACAACAAAAACAGUCAGCCAUAUAAAGGUGUGUGCGAUAUACGGCAUACAGUUCACUCGGAUGAACUGUUUGCGAUUAGGGAACACAACAGAAACGGUCAGCGAGAUCAAGGUGUGUGCGAUAUACGGCAUAUAGUUCAUCGAGAUGAACUAUUUUUGAAUAAGCAACACAACAAAUACGGUUCAACUUAACAAGAUGUGUGUGAUAUGUGGCAUACAAUUCACAUAGAUGAACUAUUUGCUAUGAACCAAAAGAACACAAACGAUUCGUGUAAACAAGAUAUGUGUGAUACGCAGCAAACAACCACUCGGAUGAACUAUUUGCAAUGAGAAAAUAAAACAAAGACGGUUAUUAGAGUUAAUUCGUGUGCGAUUCUGUGUGUAGAAAAAACUUUGAAAAAUGCAAACCAGUUGCUUGCAAUGGCUAGGAGUAUCGCACAUGAUGCGCGUGCAAGUACUCGUGUGCGAUGAUUAGUAAGUUACACAUAUGUUUCCUUAAGUUAACACGUGUGUCGUAACACGUGACACCACAUACGGUUGUCUGGUUGUGUGCUCCACUUAGUCUUGCCGCGCUCCAGGAAGGCUUCCCACGCUCCACAAGGGUGAUUUGUAAAAUCCCCUAGCUAGCUGCUUGCUAUAAAUAACCACAACAAUGGCCACCGGUAACGACUCGCUACUGAUCCACUUGCUAGCUAGUUACCCACACAUACCGACAUACCCCCAACAGCCAACGACAGGAUGGAGUUGUGCGACGGGAAUGGGCACCGGAGAUCAUAGUUUAGGUUAAUUAAUUAUAUAUCCGGAGUAUAAUUAAUUAACAUAAUCUGAGAUCAAAUAAGUGAAGCUUCCCCAACGUGAUCGUGCGCUGGCCCCAACCGCUAGCAGAGCACGCACGCUGGGACGCAACCCGAGCGUGCCUUGGCGCCUAAACGGUAAACAAAGCGCACAGAGGGAUGCGACCCGAGGGUGCCUUGGCGCCUAAACGGAGAGCGGAACACGUAGAGGGAUGCGAGCAGAGCACGCCGCGACCGCCUAAACGACGAGUAAACACAUGCAUAAUUAUUUCAUACAGCAGAUGAACAUAGCCGGGAAUAGGCGUCCAAUAAUAUUAUUUUUGAUGACAUGCAUUAAUAUAUUCUUAGUUAAAUCCAAGGUAAAAGUUUGGUACUAUAAAAUACGAAGGGGGACAAUAAACCAUGACAGAGGUAGUACCUAUAUGAACACAAACGCCCAGUACAGAAAUUAAUGACAUUAUAAAUGUGUCUCGCAUUCCACACCAAUGCUUCCCGCCUCUUCCCUCAUCAGUUUCCCGCCACCAGCAAGUGGCUUGCUCCAUAUGACCCAGGCGGCAACGCACCGUAUCGACACUAUGCAUAGAUCUAGUCCACACCCAUCUACCAUUAGUUAUUCCAAGCAUGCUAGGCACUGAUGAAUGCUUCAAUGUCGACCCUUUCAUGCAUUACACCUUCGGCAAGGAGAACGAGCCAGAGCAGGUCGGGGAGCAAGAGCUUCAUUGGCCGGUGCUGGAGCCAUGGCCCAUCGGCAGCGAUAUUGCCGUGACAGUCCUUGAGGGUGCAAUGUACAUAUUGCAGAGGAAGUGUGAUGAAUAGUUUGCCAUCCACCAUGCAAAAGAUCCAGAGCUGCUAGGCGGCAUGAUCGAUGACCCACCCGAAGAGCCACCAUUACCAAUGCUCAUCGAGAGCCUAAUGCCCUGCAAGGAAUGGGUAGAGGACCUCUGCGAUUCAAUUAUGAGAUAGCCAGCCUACGGCUUCAUCAUUGUCGGCGGCGGUCGUGUCAACCUCGAUCCCGAUGAUGUGGUCGCUAGGCUUGAGCGCAUCCAUGGCUGAGUUGACAUCCCCGACGAAGUAGAACAUCGCCAAUGUGGUAUCUUGAGGAUGCAGGUGAUGGAUGGAAUUUGCUACCAGGGCAGACACAUGGAAAUGGAGUGGUUCCGCGGGUGUGUUAUGCGCGCAAUUGAAUGCUAUCAAGCUGUUCUUGAAGAGGCCCAGCAGCCCCAAGAGCCUCCCAGCACCAGCAGCUCCGUAGGCGGAGACGGGUAACGUGGCUGCGGGUCGGGACACUUAGAAUGAAUGGCAACAAGGGUGCUAUGCUGAUCAUGGAGUCCGAGAAGACAGUCAUCGGAAGGCCGCCAGCUCAACCUUUUAGCCUAUAUUUUAUUAUAAUUGUAUGCAAAUAUCGCAUAUCGACAUUUUAAGUCACUAAGCAUAUGUAGCUCGUGUGUGUUUUGGGCAUUGACGCAUGUGGCAUUUUAAAUUAUCCUGAAUUUGUAAGACACUAUUAACCAUUGCCAUUGUAAAUUUGCCUGAACGAUGAGUAGAGUGCGCGUAGGGAUGCCAGAGAGGAGCGCGCCAUGAUUUUCUCAAUGGAGAGCAAAAUGCGUGGACAAAUGCGAGUAGAGCACGCCGCGUCCAUCUCAAUGACGAGCAGAGCGCGCGCAUGCGGCAGGGGGGAGGAGAAGAGCGUGCCGCGGCCACCUAAAAGGCAAGCAACCACACCUGCGUAUUGCAAUUCUGGUCAACCUUUUGGCACCCCGUGGGAGGCGCUACGGCCCAUCCAUCGGACAUGAUGGUGAUAGCUAGACCAUGUGUGAUAGUGGGCAGACACAUACAUGUCCAAGAAAGCGGGCCCACGUACGCUAUCUGGGAACCGUUUUGGGCUUCAAUCCCAGAACCAUCAAUAAAUUUUGAGUUUGUUUCUCGUCACAUUCCAGAGUACCACGUAAUAAGUUACUGCAAAUCUGGUCACACUGAUCCAACCUAAACAUGUUCCCACUUAGCACUGGGUUAUAAAAACCACCCACUCGAAAUUAGUUUACAAUUCCUCUCCUCAUCACACAAAAAAGAGGUCUUUGCCAUGACCGGUUGUGGGGACCCCAACUCAUAAGUCGAGAUCACCGAAUGCACGUGUACAGUGAUCCCGGAGAUCAAUGCUCACUAAACACACAUAAGUUGAAUACAGGAGUCUUACAUCCAUACAUACCGUCUUACACAAGUUAUGACCGUUAUGGUCAAGUCUUACAUAGAUAAAGCCUUAAGGAUUGAACAUCAAAUAAAGCACAAGCAGCGGAAAUCUUCGUCUAUAAGUAGAACCCAUGCCAUCUGCCUUAACCCUACAGGCAUUCUGACUGGGAAAGCGUCCUAUCUCGCAUGUUGUCACCAAAGAACUCUUCUUCAUAUCAAGAUCUUUCAUACCCGGCCAAUUAAAUAACCAGUGGCAAGGCAAUGAGUACUUUGAAUGUAGGCUCUACUGCUAAAUUGGCAUUUUUGCGCAAAGCUAGUUUUUCUCAUGCAAGUAUGAUCAACAUUUAUCAAGGAUAUGAAUGCUUCUGCAGCAAGUGUCAGGAGGUUACAGACAUCAACAUCGAGAAAGAGUUAUAAACAACUCAUGCUCAAGCUCAUCGUGACUUCCUCAUGAAUCACAUUAUCAAUAUUACCAAACCGUGUUGUUUGUCAGAAACAUAUGGCCAUAGUCUAAGCAGCACUACCCAACUGUCCUUGACCGUGGACACGACUAUUUGAAUAGUUUGACACUCUGGAGAGGUUGCACACUUUACCCACAAGAUCCGGGAAGCUUUCAUGUCAUCCACAACCCGCGGUACCUCAAGUACCAGGGGUAAGCACCCGAUCACUACCUUUCCCUUGCCGUGACUAACAAGGAGUCCACUCGAUUGGUACCAGCCCUCGUGCCAACAUUAUCACAUAAUAAAUUUUUGUGGAUCCACGCUCCCAUAUUAAUCAUAUAACACAAGCACGGGGUACCAGCGAUGUGUCUGGUGCCCUGUAAAAACAGUCAAGGCCACACUACCUGGCACGACCCCGUCCCGAGAGUGAUCAUGCCACUCUCGUCAAUAGUAAUGCGGGCAUUCAUGUUAGCACGAACUAGGUAAUCAAUAAUGUCCUUUUGCAUAUAAGGGUAGAGUGGUUGCACAUGUAGGGUUGGGACGGUCAACAAAUCUUAAAUCUAAUCCGUCUUUGUAAACAAAACUUUCAUCAAGCCUCGGUACACUACCUAUCCACCAACUAGUGACCUAGUUCAUCAUCAUCUCCCAGGGGCAUUAGUGGCACCCACUGGGCUAUUUGCAAGUAUGUCAAACCACACUUGUUUCUUUCCAUGCAUAACUCUGACCCAUUUUGCAUAGCCAACUACUAUAGCAUAUUUCUACAACCCACCAACACAGCUCUAAACAAGGAUAGAGUCAUGAACAAUGUAAGUAUCAACGGGGUAUGCACCGGAGGCAAGCCUAGCAAGGUUGCCAUUCAAGAUAUCAUGCAUUCAACAAUAAGGGAAAGAAAUGCUAUUAUGAUAAAAAGGGUUCUUCAUGGUCAAAGGGCUGCUUGCUUGUCUUAACCAAGUCCCUGGGUCUUCAAAUGUCUCUGGUCCAACUCCUUCAUCAACGUUGUAAUCUAACGUUGCAAAAAUAACGGCACAAAGUAAGACCAUAACACAAAAAAAAAAUUAAAAGUGCUCAUAAAAAUGUUCACUUAUUUUUGUUAAAUAUUAGGAUGAAAACUAAGAAUGGAAAAUUCUUAGUUUUGGAUUUUGGGCUAUAGAAACAGAGGAAUGGAUUUUUAAAGUGGGACUUAAAUGCUCAAAUUUGAAUUUAAAUUUGAACAGUACAAAAAAGUGUGAUGGAUUUGCAUGAAAGUUAUACCAUUAAUUAGGUGGUAUUUUUAGAAGAAUAUAGGAGUUGGAAUUUUGUGAUUUUGAUAAAUAUUUUAUUCUGUGGAAUUUUUGGAAGUUUCUGGAAAAAGAAAAAGAAGAAAUGGCACUGUGCAACUGGGCUGAUUCGUGCACCGUGCAGUAGGCCCAAAGGGGAUCCAACCCGCAUGACAGACCAAUUCGAAGGCGUAUUUAGAAAAUACGCCUUUAGCCGACACAGCAAACUGAUACGCGCGCGCGUGUGUUUUAAACCUGACAGGUGGGACCCCAUUGUCAUGGUGUGUGGCUGAUAAACGAGCCCAACGACCGUCGUUGUCUACCUCUGGCCAAAGGGCACGACGAGCUCAUCGGCCUUGCUAUGGUCGACGGCGAGGCGAUCUGAGGGCACCGGCGUGCUCCGGGCGGAGUCGCUCUUUGAGUGGAGANNNNNNNNNNNNNNNNNNNNNNNNNNNNNNNNNNNNNNNNNNNNNNNNNNNNNNNNNNNNNNNNNNNNNNNNNNNNNNNNNNNNNNNNNNNNNNNNNNNNNNNNNNNNNNNNNNNNNNNNNNNNNNNNNNNNNNNNNNNNNNNNNNNNNNNNNNNNNNNNNNNNNNNNNNNNNNNNNNNNNNNNNNNNNNNNNNNNNNNNNNNNNNNNNNNNNNNNNNNNNNNNNNNNNNNNNNNNNNNNNNNNNNNNNNNNNNNNNNNNNNNNNNNNNNNNNNNNNNNNNNNNNNNNNNNNNNNNNNNNNNNNNNNNNNNNNNNNNNNNNNNNNNNNNNNNNNNNNNAUCGACAUGGUAGAAGGAGGGGAAACGAUCAGCGAGGUGGGAUGGUUCUAGAUCGAGUGAGAGUGGAGGCGGAGGGGCCGAUACCUUGAGAUCGACGGGACACGAGGUGGUGGAGCUCGAGCUCGAUCUCGAGCUCAGGCUGCUUCGAGGAGGAGUGGUUGGCUCAGGAAGUUGAGUGAGAGAGAGUGAGGGGUGGAGAGAAAGGGGCUUGGGGUGGAGAGAAAGGGGCUUGGGGUGGUAUAUAGCCGGCCCGGGGCUCACCGUGGACAGAGCUCACGGGUGCCCACGGCAACGACUCUAGUGACCGGGGGGAGGAGCUGGGGUUGCUUUGUGGUGCUGGUGGAGGUAGUUUAGGGCCCUGGGAGGAGAGAGGAGGAGCAGGGCGAGCUCGAGGUGGGACCCGAGCGAGCACAGAGAGUGGCGGAGCUGGGCGGCGCUCUGUCCAUGCGCGGGACGGGCAGGGGAGAGAGAGAGGAAGGAGGGGGACAGGGGUGUAGCAUGCUGCGAAUGUCGAGGCACAUCGUCGGGCGUACGGGGGAUGCCCGAGGUUGUCGGGGGCAUCAGGGAGAGAGCAUCUAUAGUGCGUGGCUGCACUGUAGCGCACUCUAGAGCACGCCAUUGGCCAAGGGUGUCUGGUAGUGCUUGGGUGGAGUAAACAAUGUGGGAGGGGCAUUGGAUGCUCUGGAGGGCCAGUAGGAGAGGAAAGAGGUUGAGGGCGAGAGAGAAAAGGGCCAUCCAGAAAGAGAUAAUGAGGUUUUCCCUCAAUCAUUGAGCUCUGGUUGGGAGGGAGUUACUGGAGGUAGAGGGUGACUAGAUGAAGCUCUGGUAAAAAGUUGAGCUCAUGGAGAAUAGUGUAAGUGGUCAAAAUGGUGAUUUUGGAAAAAUGAUAGAAGGUGUUUCAUGCAAAUUUGGGCCAGCAAAUGAAGUCCAAUUUACAUGAGAAUUAACAGGAUCAAAUGGCAGAUAGGAAUGGGUUUGAUCACCAAGUUUGAGCUCAUUUGGAGAAAGCUGCCAAUGUAACUUUGGUAAACCCUAGAAAUCAACAGAAAUGGAUUUUCCAAGAUUUAGUCAUGCAAACCUUUUCUCCUUUAUGAACCACUUGGUGUAGUGUCAUCAUUUGAGGAUUUGAGCAUGUCCACAAAAUUUGGGAUGAAAAGGAGAAAGUUGGCAAUGUAAAGUUGUUCAAACUUGGAUCUGGUCAGAGAGGGUUUUGGGUACUUUUGUGAACCAAAACUGUUUUGCUUGAGUUGAAACUUUGCAAGGUCAUCACAUUAUGCAUAUGUGACUUGCUAGAAUUUUCCUGGAUUUAUUUGAAAAUAUUUCUUAUAGAAACAUCUCAAAUACUUGAAAUGGACAGAAAUGGUUUUGGAAGGUUUUGUCCAACAUUUUGAACAUGACCAUGUGUUGAAACUCACAUAUAUAGAAAAUAUAUGUCCACUGAGCUUCCUUAUUUUUUCUCAAAUAUUUGUGACACAUUAAAAUAAUUUUAACCUAUUAAAGACCAUUUCUGGCCUUAAGAAAAAGCCUUUAAAUAAAAUAGAAAAAUAACUUUUAGAAUGAUAUUUUUGUGGAUUUUGGGAGUCCUAUAUCUAAUAGGAUUGGAAUAUAAUUUUGAAAGAUUUUUCACACCCUUACUUAAGUACUUUUAGUUCAAGUCUCAAUUCAGGGGGCUUUGGAAAAGGUAAUUUAAAAAGAAAUACUUUUUGGCCAAAAUAUUUUUGUCAAAAAAUAAUAUUUUGUCCUAUACACAUGGCAUGAUCAUUGGGGAAAGUUUUGGAUCAAGGAGAAGAUGUAUAAGAGUUGGAGGAUUUAUUUGAUUUUUAGAGCACUUGCAAACAACAAUAAAAAAUCCAAUCAAGCAAAGUUCAAAACACUCAAAAGUUUUUGUGAAACCACAUUUUGUCAUGAUUUAUUAGCUUAAGUGUUAUGGCAUGAAAAUCAUGGUGUGACACCGGUAGGAGGAGUUUUGGGUCGACAUAUAACCAGGGAGCAAAGACCAAGGUCGCGGAAGAACUAGAGAGGUCCUGCCGCUACGUGGCAGCCGCCAACAGCGAUGUCCUGGCGCGCCGCGGAGCCCUCGAACGAGCUCUCUCCGGCAGGUGAGGGCUUUCAUAAGUGCACUCGCCGCAUCGGCGCUUGCGACGAGAUGGCGGUGCUGAUGUCCUUGGCCAGUGAUGAUGACAUUCUCCCUGGCCUAGUUAAGAAACAGGAGCUAUUCGACAGCUUGAUGAAGCUGCUCGAGAUUAGCGAUGCCUCAGUUGAGAAGGCGACCGACCUCAUCGAGCAACUCAUGGGUGACAAUGCCAAGCUCCUCAAGGCGUUUUCUGAGAGGGAGGAGGAGGGCCGCCAGCUGGAAAAGCUGCAUGAGCAGAGCAGUGCCUCAGGGAUGAUGCUAAAAGCGGUGUCCGAGGAACUGAUGGGUGACUUGAGGAAGCUCCACAUCGAGCACAAGCUGGAGGUGUAGGAAUCUGUGGUUGCUGUCAAGCAAAGUCAUGUGAAUUGAAGAAGGAGCUAGAGGAUCUCGUUGCCUGGUGAUCCAUUGAGGAGUAGAGAAAGUAGCAACCCAGAUCGUUGUCUACAAUUUCCUUCUUCUCUUGCCCCCAUGUCUUCCGAGCGUUGCCGCAUGUGGCAUUUUAAAUUAUCGAGAAUAUGUAAGACAAUUAUUAUCCACUCCAUUGUAAAUUUGCUGUCGUAUUAUCCGUUGCCAUUUUAUUUUCUCAUCGUAUUAUUUGUUGCCGACAUGUGGCAUUUUAAAUUAUCUGGAAUACGAGUUGAAAACAAGAACAAAGCAAAUGCUAACAUUGAGCAGGGCCAUGGGAUCACAAGGAAACACCCUCCCCCAGGUGCUUUAAUUAACCACAUGUUAAACAGCGGCUCGACCACCAUUAAUGGAGAAAUUGUGAGCAAGGCGGGCGACUGGUGGAUGGAGGUCAAAGAGCUCGCUUCCCGGUGAGCAUGCACGACAGACUGCUCGCACGUGUCCCGUCUAGCCUGCACGGCGGACAGGUCACACGCGUCCCGUCGAGCCUACACUAGGGACAAGUCACACGCGUCCCAUCGACCCAGCCUCCCCUGUGCUGUUCAACUUCGUUGCAGGUGCUCUGUCUCACAUCCUUUCGUGGGCCGCGGCGGCUGGGCACAUCACCUCUAUUAGCUCUCACCUCAUCCCUCAGGGCAUCGCUCACCUUCAAUACGCGGAUGAUACCGACAUCAUGGUUUAACUCAAGGAUGAGUGCAUUGCCCACUUAAAGUUCCUCUUGCUAUGCUUUGAAGCUUUGUCCGGGCUCAAGAUCAACUUUGCCAAAAGUGAAGUUAUUGUCACAGGGGUGUCGGAUGUUGAGGCUCUUAGGGUAUCCCAACUCCUAUGCUCUCUUGGCUCUUUCCCUUUCAAGUAUCCUCGUCUUCCUAUUUCCCACAACAAAUUGUUGGCAAGAGAUUUUGCCCCGGUUGUCACGAAGGUGGGUAAUCGGGUUAUGCCUUGGUGGGGCAGGUACAACACUUAAGAGGGAAAGGUUGCCCUUAUCAACGCUUGCCUCUCCUCCCUCCCCAUGUUCCUGAUGGGUUUGUUUUUACUCUCUGGAGGGACUCACGUGAGCUUUGAGAAGCACAUGGGUGCCUUCUAUUGGAUUUCGACCGAUAACAAGCGCAGGUAUAGGCUGGUAAAGUGGAAACUUAUAUGCAGACCCAAGAACCUUGGGGGGCUGGACAUCAUUGAUACAUCAAUUAUGAACAAGUGACUUAUCAUCAAGUGGUGGUGGAAAACCAGGACCACCUCAGAGCUCUCUCUGUGGCUUAGUAUUCUCAAAGCUAAAUAUUUUCCUAUGUCUAGCCCCAUGGCUGCUCCUUCGGCGGGUGGCUCUCAAUUUUGGAAAGAUCUCGUCAAAGUGUGCCCGGCGUUUCAAUCCUUGGUUAAAUUUGUGGUUCGUAAUGGUAAAUCUACCCAAUUUGGUUGGACUGGUGGUAUGGGGAGUCUACUCUUGCGGUGGUGUUCCCGGUUCUUUUUUCUUAUUGUAUGGACCCGGAGAUCUCUAUCUUUGAGCUCCGUGAGAAUAACUGGGACCUGGCCCUUUGAUGAUCUCUGUCUCCUGAAAAGUUGGAUGACUGCUAGCGCCUUGUUGCCAGCAUCCCUUUGCUCUCGGAGGGGGAGGACUCGGUGGUCUGGCCUCACUCUGUCUCUGUCCGCUUAUUUGUUAAGUCUCUUUAUGCCAAACUAGUCUCAAGCUCUCCUACUACUAAGUUUAAGUUGAUGUGGCACUCACAGAUCCCUCCUAAGAUAAAAAUCUUCCUCUGGCAAGCGUAUAGAGGAAGGCUGCCCGCGGCUGAUCAGAUUUGUACACUACUAGGAAAACCCUUACUAGUAGCGCUGUUUUUUUGCUAUUAGUAGUGCUGGCAGACGCGCUACUGCUACGACACUAUAGCUAUUUUUUAGCAGUAGCACUUGUUAUUCCCAGCGCUACUGGUAACUGAAGCUAGCAGUAGCGUUGUUCCCUCCAGCGCUACUGAUACUUAUCUGCAGCGCGUGCAGCUAGCCAACGCUACUAUUAUUUGAGUGCUACUGCUAAACUUUACCUCCCACACCACUGCUAACUUUUGUAGGUUCUUUUUUUGCGUUUUGGCUCUGUACACAUUUAAACAGAUCCACCAUUUAUACAAUAACAUGCAUAUUCAGUGAAAAGCAAGUGAGUCAUCGAUGAGCCAAAGUUAUUAGAAGUCUCGACAUGUCUCAAGUAUCUCAUCAUCAUCAAUCAUGGUCUAACACAUGUCUCGAAAUAGCGUUACAAGUCAUUACAAGUUCCCAGUACAUGCAACUACAUGGCCACAUACUCAUGUUUCAUCAUCUAUGUAGACUCUGAUGUGUCCGCAUAGAAGAUAAGAGCGUUCACGAUGAUCAAAAGUGGUAGUAUGUAGUAGUUUUUGCGACGCUGGUUCUGAAUCCCCUGUUGUGCUAUGAAUCUCAAGUAACUAGCUUCGGCUUCCGCUCUGCUAUCAAACCCUUUCUGGUAUCCUUUGAUGACCCCAUUCAUCCUCUCAAACAACAUCAUGCUAUGCAGGAAUGUCGGCCCUAGGUCGAUGAUGUCGUCCACGAUGUGGACACAUAGAUGCACCAUGACAUCAAAGAACACAUGCGGGAAGUACAUCUCUAGCUCAUUCAGUAUGACAACGAUCUCUUCCUGUAGCCUAUGGAGUUGCUUCACACUAAUCAACUUUCAAGAGAUAGCAUCAAAAAAGUGGCAUAGGUCAGUAAGCGUCUCACACACAUGUGUGUCCAUAAUCCCUCUAAGUGCAACCGGGAGUAACUGCAUCAUCAUCACAUGACAGUCGUGAGACUUCAUCCCACUAAAUGUUUUUUUCUUAGUGUCCAGAUAUCUUCUUAUCUUCCCACAAUAUAUGGAACUAACUUUGAUUCCGGCAAGGCACUUGAACAAUUGAUCGACCUCCUUCGGAUCUAAGGUGAAGUAAGAGGGGGGGGGCAAUAAUGUUCUUCCUUCUUAUUUACCUUUUUACCCCUAUCUUCCGUCUCCAUCUCCAUCUCGGUAUCCCCUGAUGACCUUUUACCGGGCAUUCGGAGAUCUUUCCUGAUAUUAAAAAAUUCCAAGUCUUUUCUUGCCUUCGGCCCAUCGUUGGUCCUCUCCGGCAUGUUCAUCAAUGUUCCAAGCAAACUCUCAAGGAUAUAUUUUGUGAUAUGCAUUUGAUCAAGGCUAUGAGGCGUGUUGAGUAUGGGCCAAUAUUCCAAGUCCCAGAAAACAGAUCUCGUCUUCCAUACCUUUAGUAGGGGCUCCGACACCUUUUUCUUCGUCUUUCCCUCUGAGAGGCACUCUUCCCAGUUCUUUAGUAAUUCAUAUAUUUCUGCACUGCCACGCUUAUGUGGAGGACCUCGAUGCUCAACCUUACCAUUGAAUAGAUCUCCACGCUUUCUCCACGGGUCAUCCUUCUCGAGCCAUCUUCGAUGCCCCAUGUACAUGAUUUUCAAAGACCCGCCAUCUUUCGAUAGCUGCAGAGAAGUUGUAUCAUCCAUGCACCUCAUGCCUCCGCAAUAUCCGUGGCACACCUGUCCGGAGAGAUAGCCGUAAAUGAGAUAGUCCUGCACCGUCGUGAACAGUGCGACUCUCAUGUAGAAAUUCUCUCCUUUGCUUGCAUCCCAUGUCUUGGCCGGUGUUGUCCAUAAGGUCUAUAGCUCCUCUUUCAGUAACCCGAGAGACAUAUUUAUAUCAUUUCCCGGUUGUCUCGGCCCUUGAAUAAGCAUAGACAUGUGUAUGUAUUUUUCCUUCAUGCACAACCAGGGGGGAGGUUGUACAUCCAUACAAACACGGGCCAUGUGCUAUGGUUGCCAAAUGGACUCAUGCCAUCACUAGUAGCGCCAAGCACGAUGUUGCUUGGAUCAUUUGCAAAAAAAUCAAAUUCAGCAUUUAAUGCUCUCCACUGGCUGGCAUCUGGGAGGUGUCUCAGCUUUGGCUCAUCUUCAUCAUCUGGCUUCACCCUCUCCGCAUGCCAGCACAUAAGCUUUGAUUCCUUAGGAUCUACGAAAUACCGCUGUAGACGUGGAGUGAUCGGAAAGUACCAUACAACUUUCUGUGGAGCUUUCUUUCCGGCCUUUUUAUAUCGUGAAGUAUUGCACUUUGGACAGAUGGUUUUUUUCUGCAUGCUCGUUCCGAUAUAUGAUGCAAUCAUUGAUGCAUGUGUGAUAUCUAAUGUGUGGCAGACCAAGAGGGAACAUGAUUUUCUUUGCCUCCUCGACACUAGUAGGACACAGGCUUCCCGCGGGAAGAACCUUCUUUAGAUACUUCAGAAGCUCAUCCAGGCUUGCAUCUGUCCAUUUGUUUUUUGCCUUCGUCUUUAGAAGUUCUAGUGUGAAACUCAAGCGGGUCACCUCGGGAUUGCAACCAUCAUACAAAGGAGUCAUCGAGUCUACGUCCAGUUGCACCAGUUUGGCCUCCUCUCUAGAAGCAGCUCUGUCGCUAGUCAUCUUCUGGCGAAGCAGGUCUCGAACAUGCGGGUCCCACAUGGAUAAACUUAGUAGCGACAAAGACGGUGGCGUGUCCACGUCUUCUCCGCCUUGAUCUGCCUCUUCGCCAUCGACAUUUUCGAGGCCGUCUUCCUCUUCGGGCACAUAAUCGGUCAUCUCUUCGUCUAGUGGCCCCAUGUCGUCAUUUCCUGCCCCGUCGAGGUCCUCCUCCUCCUCCUCCUCAUCAUCAUCUUCACUUAUCCACCGAGUAUGGCCAUGCAUGCAACCAUCCUCUAAGGGGUCAAGCCUGACUAUUCCUUUGCAUUUUCGACACGGACAUAAAAUAUCCUUCAGUCUUUUUUCAUACAUGUCAUCCACAGCGGAUUGCCAGUAUCUUUCCACCAUCCUUCCAUUGACCUUCAUGAUCACCUGCGCACGGAGCAAAUAUUAUAAGCACAUAUAUAUGCAUGCAUGGAUCAAAUUCAUACAAAAAUUCGGCAUGGCCUUCCCUAAACAUAGGACAUAUUGAGUUUGCCCGAAAUUCGCCGAAACGGAAUUGAAUCGACAUUUUGGCAAAACACAGGCAAGUCAUGUCACCCACAUUAUUUUAUCAAAUACACAAUGUAGGCAACUCAAAUUAUGCCACACACAAUUCGAUAUAUUCUCAUAUCGCCCAUAUAUAUAUAGUUUUGGUCCUAUACACAAACACUUUUUUUUGCUCACCCAUGUGUCGAGAGGGAUAUCAAGCACCUUUCUUCUUAAUUACUUAGUAGCUCUAGAUAUAUAUUUAUAGCUCUAACUAGCUAGCUAGCUAGCUAGGGAGAGAGAGAGCUAGGGAGAGAGUGGGAGGAGAGGGAGAGAGGAGAAGAGGGAAGGCAUUAAUGGAAGAGGGUGGUGGAGGGCAAAGAAGAAGGGGAGGGAGGGCAUUAAUGGAUGGGGUGGUGGUGGAGGGCAAAGAAAGAGGGGCGGUGGUGGAGGGCAGAGAACAGGGGGAUGGGAGAGCUCUAAUGGAGGGGUGUGGUGGAGAGGCAAAUAAGNNNNNNNNNNNNNNNNNNNNNNNNNNNNNNNNNNNNNNNNNNNNNNNNNNNNNNNNNNNNNNNNNNNNNNNNNNNNNNNNNNNNNNNNNNNNNNNNNNNNNNNNNNNNNNNNNNNNNNNNNNNNNNNNNNNNNNNNNNNNNNNNNNNNNNNNNNNNNNNNNNNNNNNNNNNNNNNNNNNNNNNNNNNNNNNNNNNNNNNNNNNNNNNNNNNNNNNNNNNNNNNNNNNNNNNNNNNNNNNNNNNNNNNNNNNNNNNNNNNNNNNNNNNNNNNNNNNNNNNNNNNNNNNNNNNNNNNNNNNNNNNNNNNNNNNNNNNNNNNNNNNNNNNNNNNNNNNNNNNNNNNNNNNNNNNNNNNNNNNNNNNNNGGAGAUGGGAAUGGAGGGGUGUGCUGGAGGGGCAAAGAAGAGGGGGGUGGUGGAAGGGAAAAGAAGAGAAGAAGGGAGGGCUCUAAUGGAGGGGUGGUGGAGGGGGAGCAUUGGAACAAGCAAGGUGCAAGGAAAGGGGGAGAAAGGAAGGGGGAGAGGAAGAAGAAAGGGGAGGAAGGAGGGGAAAGGUGGUUGGUGGCUGGCGACCAUAGCAGUAGAGCGGGGCACCAAAGCAUGCUACUGCUAUGAGUGCCAGCCAAAAUAUCUACUGGUAACUAAAACUAGCUAUAGCGCUUGUACAAAAAGCACACUACUAGUAUAAGUUUACCCAUAGAAGAAAUAGUAGUAGCACGUCUAGGUGUACAGGCGCUACAACUAUUUUGGUUGGGUGGUGUGCUGCGACAAACUUACCAGUAGCGUGGCCUCCAGAAACCCACGCUGCUGCUAUGUUGUACCAGUAGCGCGCUUUAUAACAGAUGCUACUGGUAAUUAUUAGUAGCGUGGGGUCCAGAACACACACUACUGGUAAACUUCUAUGCAUAAGCCUUUUCCUAGUAGUGAUAAACAGAACGGCCCUGGUUCAGACAGGUGUGCCUUGUGUGGUACACUUGAAGACACGAAUCAUAUGUUCUUUCAGUGUUCCCUCGCCAAGUUCGUUUGGUGUUGCGCCAGGUCCUGGCUUCAUGUGUCUUGGAGCCCCUCCUCUUUCGCGGAUCUUAGGGCCGUGGCAAAUGGCCUUUCGGGGACCUCUAAACGGUUUUUUGGUGGGGUUUGCUGUGAUCUGUUGGUCGCUGUGGACUACUAGGAACAAGUUUACUAUUGAACACUCCUUCCCGGCAAAACCUGUUGACUGCUUGUUUAAAACUUGUAUGUUCUUGCAGAAGUGGAGAUCGUUGACUAAGGAGAUUGACCACGAGGCUUUUGAUCUGAUGACUUCAAAGAUUCAGGCUACACCUUCUUCCUUGUUGCAACACCAACCCGGAGAAUAGUGGAACUUGGAGGUCCCUUUUGCUGGCGUGCUUUCCGUAUUAUGGCCUGUGUGGCAUGUUUUGGCUUGGGAGCCAUGUACCAAUACCGCUGCUGUUAUUUUUCGUCUUUGUGUUUUGUCUACUCGUCUGCUUGUCUGGUGAACACUUCCUGGUGGAUUUAUUUAUAAAGUCAGCACAAGGCCUUUCACCUAGAAAAAGCCUGCAUGGCAGACUGCUCACACGCGUCCGCUCGAGCUUGCACGACAGGCUUCUCGCGCUCGUCUCUAAUCAAACAGCUGCACGAGGCCAUUGACUAUGGUUAAAUUUUGGCCAAAAAUACAAAGAGGACCAAUGAACCAGGACCGAGGUAGUACUCUACCAUAAAAAGAGGGACGCAUGGCCACACUUAAAUGGUUACGGGAACACACACGGUUCAAAUAAUACAACCAUUUGCGAUAUUAACGUGUCAGCUAUUUGUUUCAAAAGGACUUACAUUGGCUAUUAAUGCAUGCGCCUUGUCUCAAACUGGAUGAUUUUUUUACCAUGGCAUAUAUAUGCCAUGUCAUGAAACCAUGCCAAGUUUCAUGAUUUUUGGGUGAGUUUUGGAUUUACCAAGAUUUAAAAACUGAGAUUCUCAAUGUUUCAGGAUGACGAGACGUUUGUAAUUCAUCCCAAUUCCUUCAAUGAGACCUAAACAUGCACCCAAGGACAAAUGUAUGAUUUUCCGCCCAUUUUGCUGCACUAGAGCACGUGCUUGUAGUUCAAAUUUGAAUUAUGGACAUUAAAUGCCUAGAAAACUCAAUUAAUAUAUAAAAUGGCCAAACAAACCCUGAAUAGUUUCAAAUUUCAGCAUGAAACUCCUGUUAUUCUAUAUUGCGUGUAGAAAACAAAAUACAAGGCGAGAAGAGGCAACGAUUAUCGUUUCUCCCACAAGAGGGGCACGUUUACCUACCGGAACCAUGAGGAUUGCGAGAAGCUCUGGUUUGUAAGAGGCUUGUAAUAAAGCUUGGCCCAAAUUGGACAAUUUUUUACCACGACAUAUAUGUGCCAUGUCAUGACACCAUGCCAAGUUUCAUGAUUUUCUGGUGAGUUUUGAAAUUACAGAGAUUUAAAAACUAAGAUUCCCAAUGUUUGAGGCUGAGCCAGGACGCCGAGACGGUUGAAUUCAUUCCCAUUCCUCGCAUGGGACCUAAACAUGCACCCAAUGACACAUGUACAAUUUUUCUAGCCAUUUUGGUGCACUAGAGCAUGUAUUUGUAGUUCAGAUUUGAAUUAUGGACAUUAAAUGCCUAGAAAACUCAAUUAAUGUAUAAAAAAGGCCAAACAAACCCUGAAUAAUUUCAAAGUUCAACACGAAUCUCAUGUUGUUCCAUGUUGACUGUAGAAAAAUACAAGGCGGGAAGAGGGAGCGAUUAUCGUUUCACCCACAAUGGGGACACGUUUCCCUAUCAAAACCACAAGGGUUCUUGCGAGAAGCUCCGAUUUGUAAUAAAGCUUGGCCCAAAUUGGACAAUUUUUUUACCAUGCCAACUUUUUCAAGAUUUUCUAGUGAGUUUUGGAUUUACGGGGAUUUAAAAAUCGAGAUUUCCAAUGUUUGGGGACGAGCCAGAACACCGAUACGGUUCAAAUUCAUUCCCAUUCCUUGCAUGGGACCUAAACAUGCACCCAAGGACACAUGUAUGUUUUUCUAGACAUUUUGGUGCACUGGAGCAUGUAUUUGUAGUUCAGAUUUGAAUUGUGGACAUUAAAUCCCUAGGAAACUCAAUUAAUGUAUAAAAAGGCCAAACGAACCCUGAAUAAUUUUGAAUUUCAGCAUAGAUAUCCUGUCGUUCCAUGUUGCCUAUAGAAAAAAAUACAAGGCGAGAAGAGGCAGCGAUUAUCGUUUCGCCCACAAGGGGGACAUAUUUCCCUAUCUGAAACCACGAGGCUUCUUAAGAGAAGCUCCGGUUUGUAUGAGGCUUGUAAUAAAACAUGCCCCAAAAUGGACAUUUUUUUCCAUGCCACAUAUAUAUGUGCCAUGUGUGACACCAUGCCAAGUUUCAUGAUUUUUCGGUGAGUUUUGGGUUUAAGUGGAUUUAAAAACAGAGAUUCUCAAUGUCCGAGGUCGAGCCACACGCCGAGAUGAUUGUAAUUCAUUCCCAUUCUUUGCAUGGGACCUAAACAUGCAUCUAAGGACACAUUUAUGAUUUUUGUAGCUAUUUGGGUGCACUAAUUUGAAUUAUGCACAUUAAAGUAAUGCUUAUAAAACUUAAUUAUAAUUUAUAAAAAAGGCAAAACGAACCUUGAAUAUUUAAAGCGGUUCUGGUUAACCGUCUGACACCCGUGGGUAAGCACUGUGCACAUGCGUCGUGCUAACUUGUGCUUCUCUCUUUACUAAGUCUUCCAUAUUAAUGGUGUUAUAUAUCCAAACACGCUACCUUUUCCAGCCACUCUCCCAUCGGUUUCCCGCCUCUUCUCCAACGGCUUUCCACUGCUAGUGUCAGUGCUCAUAGAAGGCCAGGCGGUCACACAACGGCCAUGUAAAGAUUGCACACAGUUUCUAAAAGCACAAACGUGUGUGAUAGUAGGGAGUAGGUCCCAUACGUUGACCAGCGUGAAACGCCUUAAAGGCAAGGAGGCAAGUCUUAUCGGAAAGGGGCGGCUUCCCGUCCACUAGCCUAGUUGAAUAGAAUGUAGAAGUCAAGCGUGUUGGGGCUGGAGGAGUCUAAGGAUGGGUGACCCGGUGGGACGUUGCAUAUCUCAAGCUUCAUUAAAGCGCCAUGAUACGGUCAUUAUAGACAUUUAUCAUCUAAAUGUGUCUGUAGUGACAUGUCAUGAUGAUUAUAUAAACCUUGGGAUCUUUUGGUAAUUUGUAGAAUUUGUUUUUUGUCGUUAUUUCUUGUUCCAAAAAAAAUCUGAGAAUGAUCAAGAUUUGUAGGCCCACACAAUCUAUCCCUUUGACCCAACGUACGAGAAGGGUUUGACCAUGAUGGUUUCCUCUUGCUCUGUGUGCCAUGUUAGACCAAAUCAAGUUUGAGCACAUGCGUUGGAUGACACCCCUACCCCCACCCACCCUCGAAGUUGCAGAACCGACAUCAUACGUCUUUAACCUGGCUGGGGGUUAUGAUGUUCGAUUUGUAAUGUUACUAAUGUAGUUGGUGCCCCAUCGAAGUUGUGCAUUGGGGAUUUGAACAAAUCGCACCCCACCCAUACAUUUUUUGUGGCUGCAUGCAGGGUAUAGGGGGUCUUCUGAUCGAGCAUGUCUCCCUUGUGCGGUUUAUAGAUGACACACAUAUCUGUGGGCUCCCCGAGGUCUAUAUAUAUCAUCCUUGACCGAUAAUGAGGGGGGCCCACACAAUCUAUCCCUUUGAUCCAACGUACGAGAAGGGUUUGACCAUGACGGUUUCCUAUUGCUCUGUAUGCCAUGUUACACCAAAUCAAGUUUCAGCACAUGCGUUGGACGACCCCCUCCCCCCUGCCUCGAAGUUGGGGAACCGACAUCGUACGUCUUGAACCUGGCUUAGGGGUACGGUGUUCGGUUUGUAAUGUAGUUGGUGCCCCAUCGAAGUUGUGCAUUGGGAAUUUGAACACAUCACACACCACCCAUACAUAUUAUUUAGCCGCAUGCAGGGUAUAGGGGAUCUUCUAAUCGACCACGUUUCCCUUGUGUGGUUUUUUGUGACGACACGCAUAUUUGUGGGCUCCCCGGGGUCUAUAUAUAUCAUCCCUUUGACCGAUAACGAGGGGGGAUUGGCCAUGAAUGGAUUCCUCCUAGUUCAUGUUAGGGCGGGUCACCGUAACAUGUUCGAGCAAAUUUCGAGCUCAGGCGUUCUCAGGAUUCCCUCCCACAUGCUCGGAAUGGUGGGUUGGACCGACACCGUGCCCUACAUAUCUCAUCCUUAAUUACCUGGCUUUCAUGGUGGUUGUAUAUAUCAAGAGGUAGGCGCCACAUCUAAAUUGUACAUUAUUUGACAUUGAAAACACAUCACCCCUUCCAACGUACAUCAUUUUGGGCGGCAUGCAGGCAGUGCUGGUUUUGUAGCCCCUCUCAUGUGAUUUUUGAUGAUGGUCCAAUCUAUUGGCCCAAGCAGUGUGUAUAUAUAUUCUAUCCAUUUUUGAUCGACAAGAACAAUAGUCGUUUGACCAAGCAAGAGAUUCACUGGUCUUUCUUAUGGUAGGUCAUGGCGACAUGGAUGUAUGACCAAAGUAUCAGUGCGUGCACCUGCCCUGCUCACACGAAGUGGGAGGUGGGGCAAGCACCCUAGCUAGGUAGCUACGGCCUUAUGUUGUGGCCAUGACCUACCAUCCAAGGGGGCUUUAUGGUUUGCGAGGCAGGUGCCACCAAAGUUUUGCAUUCUGUAUUCAAACAUCACACACUAUAUUCCUACAUAUAUUGGCCACUUCCAGAUUGUUGUUGACUUCUGGCCCCUCUCAUCGAUCUUUGAGGCCGCGCCCAAAAAUGGGCCAGCGCGGUCAAAGUUGUGCAUUGGAAAUUUGAACACCACACACCACCCUUUUCAUUCAUAUAUAUCUGGGCCACAUGCUGGUGUGGUUGUCUUAUGACCCUCACAUUUUUUUGCUGCGAAAUGGUGCUAUAUAUGAAGACUCGGAUGAUGCUCAACGGACAUGGGUGCACUGGCUUAACCAUGUGCGAUGCCAGUGUGUUGUGAAAUCACCACGACUGCGCAAGCAUGGGAAAGGGUGGAGGUACUGGCUUAACCGUGUGCGAUGCUAGUGUUCUAUGAAAUUACCACGAGUGUGCAAGCGCGAGCAAGGAUGGAGGUAGUGGCUUAACCGUGUGCGAUGCUAGUGCGCUGUAAAAUCACCACCUGCGCAUGCUAAAGGUGGGUAGUUUAUUUAGGAUGAAUUCCAUGAUUGCGUCUGAAAAUUAGGACGAACCAUGUGCACUAGAUCAGCUAGCUAAAAAUCAAAAAACAAACUACCCGCGUUGAGCGAUGCAAAAAUCGGUGGUUCCGCCGCUUUUCCUUAUUGUCAUACACGCAUAUUCUUUUUGGACCGUGUGCGAUCUUGGGUGCUCCUGCCCCACAUCAAUUCCUUUACCCAUUUUUUUGUAGCCGCAGUAUUUCAACCGUCGCCCCCACUCCUCCUCCACCGCCCUUAUAGUAUAAUUCCAGUAGCUGAUGCAGUUGAACCGUCUCCCUCCCUUGCCACGUGGCGCGNNNNNNNNNNNNNNNNNNNNNNNNNNNNNNNNNNNNNNNNNNNNNNNNNNNNNNNNNNNNNNNNNNNNNNNNNNNNNNNNNNNNNNNNNNNNNNNNNNNNNNNNNNNNNNNNNNNNNNNNNNNNNNNNNNNNNNNNNNNNNNNNNNNNNNNNNNNNNNNNNNNNNNNNNNNNNNNNNNNNNNNNNNNNNNNNNNNNNNNNNNNNNNNNNNNNNNNNNNNNNNNNNNNNNNNNNNNNNNNNNNNNNNNNNNNNCCCGCAGUCCGGCCGCCGCCCCGCCGCGCCGGCCCCUUCCUCGCCGCCCAGCGCCGCCUCCUCGUCGUCCGCGCCCGGAUUCGGCGAGAUCCGGCUGGAUCCGCCCCAGAGCUACCUCGCCAGCGUCUUCCCCGGCCAACUCUGGCCACCACGGCACCAUCUCCGACGAGAUCUCGUCAGGGUGGACGAGAUCCACCCGUUCCUCGAACCAAACAGCCUCCCCACAUCCCGAUCCACUCCGUCCCGGAACCAUCUCGUCCCGCGUUGACUUUCGUUGAGGUGAAAUUUCACCACGUCCCGGAGCUCUCGAUAUUUGUAUGCCCUGUUCAUCAUGCCAUAACUUCAUGCUCGGAGCUCCGAUUUGUGCAUAUAAUAUGUCAAAAUGUUCAUCAUGAGAUGCUAUUCAUUUUGUUCCAUUCUGCUAUGCUUGUUUGAGUUCAUAUUGAUGCCUAAAUAAUCUUUGCAAGAAUGCUAUAUGAUGUUAACUACUAUCUGUUAACAGAACUUGGUGAUUUGUCUUUUUCAUUGCAUUUUAUGUGUGCAUCCUAUGAGCAUGAGCUCUAUAGGUGUUUUGAUCUACUACAUGCCAUCUUUAAAGAGGUGCUUGCCAUGUAUUUUUGUGAUCAGUGUGGUGGCUAGCACAAGCAUGCUAACUAGGCUUCGUGAUGUUGCUGAUUUCAGUCCCUGUUGUGCUGUUAUUUUGAUGCCAUGUAAACUUGAUGCUACUGUGAUAUCCAUGCUUGUUUUGGGAUACUUUAGUAAGGAUGUUUUGAACAUAUGGUUAUGCUCUAUCCAUCCAUGCCCCUUUUUGCAAUUAUCGAGUAAUCUAGCAUGUCAUGUUCUUGCUCUAAUUUUGCUAUAAAAUGUUCCUGGCAGUAUGUUAAAAUGCUAAUCAAUUUUGCGAUGGUUGUUGCUAGUGAUCCAAGCAUGCUAUGAACUUGUUCUUGCCAUGGUUAGUUUUAUAAACAUGUCUCCUUGCUGAUGCUAUGAUUUUCUUGUCAUGCAAUGACUUGUGAUGAGUGAAUCGAGCUCGCAAACAUGCCUUCAUAAUUCUGUUAAUGCCAUGCUCUGUUUUCUGCUGUCUGAAUCUGUUAAUGAAACUUGCUAUGUUUACAUGGGUGCCAUCAUAUCUUCUGAUCCUUGUUGGCUCAUGGUCUCUAAGGGAAUUUUGUUCUAUGCAUUUAGUAGUAUCAUUCCAUGCAUUAAGUUUCUAUGAUAUGUUCCUGUAUCAUGAUAUUUGUUUGCCCUAAAUAUUGCUUCCUGAUGCUGUUUCUGCCAUGUUAGUAUUUUCACCAAGUCUGUGGUGCUGUUAUCUUUUGCACUUUUGCCAUGCUUGUUUGAACCUGCUAUUGUGUGAUCUAGCCGUAGCUCAGUGUUCAUCUUUUGUCAAGAAUCUCUCGUAGAUCUCUGCCAUAUGCUUUGUUGCUACAUUGGAGUGCAGUAGUUCCGUUUCUUGUUGCAUUCUAGAUGACAUCAUGCUGUUAAUCGCAGAAUUGUGUCAUUCUUGUUUUGCUUGCCAUUUGCAAACCGUGCAUCCGUUUCCGGUGAUCUUUAUAUCGACUUCAACCGAAAUCAUCUCAUCUUUCCAGAGGCAUACUUGGUUUACCAAGUUGAUGUCUUGUUCAUCAUUUUCCUUCCGGAGCACGCAUAUGCCUUGCAUAUCACAUCUCGCAUAUCAUGCCAUGUAUUGCCUCAUGUUGCUUGUGCAUUGCACCGUGAGUGAUUGUGAUUCCAUUGCUUGUGUUCUUGCUUUUGGUAGAGCCAGGAGACGAGUACGUGAAUGAGGAACCUGUUGAGUAUGCUAACGAGGAUCAAGCUUUCGACAACUCUGAGAACUUUGUAGGCAAGAUGACCAUACCCUCGAUAUCACUUCUAUCUUCGCUUUGCUAGUUGUUCGCUCUAUCGCUAUGUUUGCGCUACCUACCACUUGUUUAUCAUGCCUCCCAUAUUGCCAUGUCAAGCCUCUAACCAUCGUUUCCUAGCAAACCGUUGUUUGGCUAUGUCACCGCUUUUGCUCAGCCCCUCUUAUAGCGUUGCUAGUUGCAGGUGAAGAUGAAGUUUGUUCCUUGUUGGAACAUGGAUAUUUUGGGAUAUCACAAUAUCUCUUGUUUAAUUAAUGCACCUAUACACAUGGUAAAGGGUGGAAGGCUCGGCCUUAUGCCUGGUGUUUUGUUCCACUCUUGCACCCUAGUUUCUGUCAUACCGGUGUUAUGUUCCUUGAUUUUGCGUUCCUUACGCGGUUGGGUGAUUUAUGGGACCCCCUUGACAGUUCGCCUUGAAUAAAACUCCUCCAGCAAGACCCAACCUUGGUUUUACCAUUUGCCACCUAAGCCUUUUUCCCUUGGGUUUUCGCGAGCCCGAGGGUCAUCUUUAUUUUAACCCCCCCGGGCCAGUGCUCCUGAGUGUUGGUCUGAAACGGGCAGACUGCGGGGCCACCAAGGGGCAACUCGAGGUACGGUUUUACUUGUAGCCUGACCUAUCCAUUGUUCCCUAAGAAUGAGAUAUGUGCAGCUCCUAUCGGGAUUUGUCGGCACAGUCGGGCGGCUUUGCUGGUUUUUUUUUACCAUUGUCGAAAUGUCUUGUCAACCAGGAUUCCGAGACUGAUCGGGUCUUCAUGGGAGAAGGAAUAUCCUUUGUUGACCGUGAGAGCUUGUGAUGGUCUAAGUUGGGACACCCCUGCUGGGUAUUAUCUUUCAAAAGCCGUGCUCGCGGUUAUGUGGCAGACAAGAAUUUGUUAAUGUCCGGUUGUAGAGAACUUGACACUUUACUUAGUUAAAAUGCAUCAACCACGUGUGUAGCCGUGAUGGUCUCUUUUUGGCGGAGUCCGGGAAGUGAACACGGUUUGGGUUAUGUAUGAACUAAGUAGUUUCAGGAUCACUUCUUGAUCACUUCUAGUUUCUCGACCGAUGCGUUGCCUCUCUUCUCGCUCUUACUUGUGUAUGUUAGCCACCAUAUAUGCUUAGUGCUGGAUGCAGCUCCACCACCUUACCCUUUUCCUACCAUUGAGCUUAAAUAGUCUUGAUCUCGCAGGUGUGAGAUUGCUGAGUCCCUGUGACUCAGAUUCUACCAAAACAGUUGCAGGUGCCGAGGAUACCAGUGCUAGUGACGUAACCGAGCUCAAGUGGGAGUUCGAUGAGGACCUUGGUCGUUACUAUGUUUCGUUACGGGAUGAUCAGUAGUGGAGCCCAGUUGGGACAAUCGGGGAUCUAGCAUUUGGGGUUAUCUUGUUUUCAUUUGGAUUUGACCGUAGUCGGUCUAUGAGUGUAUUUUGAAUGGUGUAUUUAUUUAUUUAUGUAUUGUGUGAAGUGGCGAUUGUAAGCCAACUCUCUUUAUCCCAUUCUUGUUCAUUACAUGGGAUUGUGUGAAGAUGACCCUUCUUGCGACAAAACCUACAAUGCGGUUAUGCCUCUAAGUCAUGCCUCGACACAUGAGAGAUAUAGCCGCAUCGUGGGCGUUACAAGUUGGUAAUCAGAGCCAUCCCCGUCUUGGGAGCCCCCCUGCUUGAUCGAAUCGCUGGCGUUGUUGAGUCUAGAACAAAAAUGUUUUGAGUCUUAGGAUUAUAUAUAUUAGAGAGUAGGAUUCUUUUUACUCCUCAGUCCCUUCGUCGCUCUGGUGAGGUCUCAUGACAUAGAUGUUUUGACUUUCUUCUCCUCAAAUUUCACUAAUUUGUUUUAGGAUCAUGCGGGUAUCUUGGGAUCGUUCCGAUAGUCUUGUGACGAGAACAUUGUUCUUGCUACCUCCUGACAUUGAGGGGUUGUGGCAGUGUCCCGGGGAGUUGAGCUCCGAGGUGUUGUUGUCACAAUUUUAUCGUUGCAGUUCUGGAAUACCUGAGUUUCGCCGACAUCGAAAAUCUCUUUUAUGCAGUUGUUGGUGAGAUAACCUCGACGUCAGCCAGUACUGGGGAGUUCGGGAGUAUUGCCAUAACUCGUAUAACGGAUGGUUUUUCGAAGGUUGAGGUACACAAUUUCCGAAGGUUUCUUGGUUAUGUGUUGACGGAUGGAUACAGCUGGAUGUAGGGAUUGUUAGUUUGGGUGAGAUAUAUUGCUUCCCCUGUAUACCCAACACCUGAUUGCAUAACUAGAAAGUUUCGGGAGUUUAUAGGUGGGAUUCAAGUAGCUCUAGCAUUUCUUCCCACAGAUAUUUGGUUUGUGAUUGGGUAAUCCUUACCACUUAUUUGUUUCAAUCGUACCUUGGUAUUCCUUUCAUCAAUCUCUUAUCAAGUGGCUUCUCACCUUAAUGGACGUGUGAUGUUAGCUUUGGGAAUUCAUUCGUUCAUCCUUGUUCGAAUGUUUAUUGUGAACAAUAUAUGUUGCAAUUUCUAGCCUUUGAUUCUACUUAGCUAUCAUGCCAAUGGUGGUUCUAACGAAUGUCAUCUUCCUCAGGAUGGCUCUGCCAACUCGCAACAACCCGGAUCGGGGUGAAGAAGGUCGAUCGAACCCACCACCUCCGCCACCUCCUCCGCCUCCGGAGGCAUGGCAAGCUGUCGUGGCGGCCACCAACGCCAGUACCCAGAUGCUUUUGCAAUUCUUGCAAGAAUUCAACCAAGGCCAAGGCAACCAAGGGAAUCAAGGUCAAGGGCAUUUCAAUCAUCAGCCUUAGUUUCCUACCCUCAACCAGUUCCUUGCAAAUCAGCCGAAGUCUUUCAGGUACUCUGCCGAGGCCACAGACGCCGAUGAUUGGCUCGUGGAUAUCAACAAGCAUUUUGAAUGUAGCAAUGUCAGGCCUGAGGACUACGUCAAGUUCACUUCUUUUCAGCUCAAGGACCAAGCAGCUGAUUGGUUCCGACAAUACAAAGAUUCCAGAGGAGGUAGAGUGAUUACUUGGACUAACUUCUGUCGGGACUUUAAAGCUCACCACAUUCCUACCAGUGUUGUUGAGAGCAAGCAUGAGGAGUUCCGCAAUCUCAAGCAAGGCAACAUGUCCGUGUACGAAUACAACAAGCAGUUUCAGAAACUUGCUUGCUUCGCUAAACAAGACGUUCCUGAUGAAAAGAGUAUGAUUUAUCAAUUCAGAGGUGGCCUCAGAGAGGAUCUACAGUUAGCUCUCGUUCUUGGUGAGCCUACUCAGUUCGAUCAAUUCUACAAUAUGGCCCUCAAGCAAGAAGGUGCUCAACUCAAGUGUGAGGCUUCUAAGAAGAGAAUCAGGGAUGCAGUUCAGUCUUCUUCUUCCUCACAAGUGGCAGCUAAGCAGCAGAAGUUCUACCUUCCUCCUCCUCCGUUUCGUCAGCCUUACCAGCAGAAGAACUCAGGUGGUCAUGGAUCUUCCCACGCACCCAAUCCAGCUAUCAGAACAAGUCAAAUUCUCAAGCUCCAAGGUCAAAUGCUCCUUAUCAUCGUCCGCUCUCAGAGGUGACUUGCAACAAGUGCCACCAGAAGGGUCACUACGCAAACAAGUGCUUCAACCAAAGGCGCCUUCCGCCUCCUCCUCCUGUGAGAUCUUCAAGCAAUGCAAUGGUCAAGCACAAUCCAAAGCAUGCAAAGGUGAACAUGAUGAAUGCAGCUCAGGCAGAGGAUUCUUCAGAUGUGAUCAUGGGUAACCUUCCAGUUAACUCUAUUCCUGCUAGAGUUUUAUUUGAUUCUGGUGCAUCGCAUUGUUUCAUGUCAGCACCGUUCUUUACCAAGCAUGAUUUCACUUUGGAAUAUUUGGAUAGACCUCUAGCAAUUGUUUCCCCGUGUAAGCACAUGAGUUCUCGUUUGAUGGUUCCGAAUGUCGGUAUCAAGAUGGGCAAUUAUAAAUUUAUGUCUUCUCCAAUUGUUCUUGGCGACUCUGAUAUUGAUCUAAUUCUUGGGAUGGAUUGGCUUUCUAAGCACAAGGCUAAGCUUGAUUGUGCUACAAGGGAGAUUCAAUUGACACUCUCUUCUGAGGAGGUGAUCAUCUAUGCCGCUCGGGACGAAACCAUUCGGUUAUUCUCUCUCAAUGAGAAGGGCGAGUUAGAUGCAAUCUCUCAGAUUCGAGUCGUUUGUGAGUACCAAGAUGUCUUUCCAGAAGAGCUUCCGGGUAUGCCUCCGCACCAGCCAGUCGAGUUCGUUAUCGAUCUUGAGCCUGGCACUGAACUCGUUUGCAAGCGUCCAUACAAGCUUGGACCUAAAGACCUGAAGGAACUGAAGAAACAGCUUGAUGAACAAGAGCGUCUGGGUUUGAUCAGACCGAGUUCAUCUCCAUGGGGUUCUGGAGUUCUUUUUGUCCAGAAGAAGGAUGGCACGGACCGACGGUGCGUCGAAUACCAUCCAUUCCAACAUUAAUGAGCUAUUCGAGAAACUCAAAGGUGCUAAAGUAUUCUCCAAGCUUGACCUUCGUAUGGGUUAUCAUCAGAUUCGCAUUCGUGAACAAGAUAUUCCCAAGACAACAUUCAGAACAAGUUUUGGUUCUUAUGAAUAUACUGUCAUGUCUUUCGGCCUUGUCAAUGCUCCUCCAACAUUCUCUCGAAUGAUGAACUACAUCUUCAACCCCUACACCAAUGAAUUCGUCUUGGUGUAUCUCGAUGAUAUCUUGGUCUUCUCUAAGAAUAAGAAGGAUCAUGCUAAACAUUUGCGAUUGGUGCUCGACAAGCUCAGAGUGUAUCAAUUCUAUGCCAAGUUUUCCAAAUGUGAGUUCUGGCUUGAUGAAUUUCUUUACCUUGGUCACAUCAUCUCCGCCAAGGGCAUUGCUAUUAAUCCCGAGAAGGUGUCUGCAAUUGUGAAUUGGGAACCUCCUCAGAAUGUCGAGCAGCUCCGCAGUUUUCUUGGUCUUGCAAGCUAUUGCCGAAGAUUCGUUGAGAAUUUCUCAAAGAUUGCAAAGACUCUUUCGAACCUCCUCUAGAAGCAUGUCAAGUAUGCAUGUACGCCUGAGUGUGACGUUGCUUUCAACACUAUCAAAGAGAAGCUAGUCACAGCUCCUGUCUUGACUCCUCCUGACAAAUCCAAGGCAUUUGAAGUUUUCUGUGAUGCUUCUCUUCAAGGUCUCGGUGCUGUGUUAAUGCAAGAGAAUAAAGUUGUGGCCUAUACCUCUCGCCAGUUGAAGCCCAACGAAAGAACUACCCCACUCACGAUCUUGAGUUGGCGGCAGUUGUCCAUGCAUUAAUAACAUGGAGACAACUCUUGUUGGGAAGGCAAGUGGACAUAUUCACAGAUCACAAGAGCCUCAAGUAUAUCUUCACCCAACCCAACCUCAACCUCAGGCAAACUCGAUGGGUCGAAAUGAUUCAAGAGUACAAUCCAAGCAUUGAAUAUACUCCUAGCAAGGCGAAUGUGAUUGCAGAUGCUCUGAGCAGAAAGGCUUAUUGCAACAGCUUAAUUCUCAAGCCCUUACAACCGGACCUUUGUGAAGCUUUCCGCAAACUGAAUCUCCAAGUUGUUCCUCAAGGCUUUCUUGCCAACCUCCUAGUCUCUCCUACUUUGGAAGAUUAGAUUCGUGAGGCACAACUCCUAGAUACCAUGGUGAAGAAGGUGAAAGGUGGUAUUGAGAAGGGCAUUCCCAAAUACAAGUGCUAUCGCUUGGAUGACAAAGAUACUCUAUUCUUCGAGGAUCGAAUUGUGGUUCCUAAAGGCGAUCUAAGGAAAGUAAUUAUGAACGAGGCACACAAUUCCCUUCUAUCCACUCAUCCAGGAAGUACAAAGAUGUACCAUGACCUCAAGCAGUCGUAUUGGUGGACUCAAAUGAAGCGAGAAAUUGCUCGAUUCAUGAAUGAAUGUGACGUCUGCAGAAGGGUGAAAGCAGAACACCAACGACCAGCUGGUCUCCUCCAACCUCUUGCUAUUCCAGAAUGGAAGUUUGAUCAUACUGAAAUGGACUUUGUUACUGGAUUUCCAAAGUCCAAGCGUGGGAAUGAUGCUAUUUUCGUUGUCAUUGACAAGCUUACUAAAGUGGCUCAUUCCCUUCCUAUCAAAGAAUAUCUAUCAUAGCAGCUCAGCUGGCAGAGUUAUACACCUCCAGAAUUGUCUCCUUGCACGGUAUUCCACAAUUGAUGUCUUCAGACCACGGAUGAAUUUUCACCUCUAAGUUCUGGGACUCCUUUGAGAAGGCCAUGGGCACCAACAUUCGCUUGAACACAUCUUUCCAUCCUCAAACAAGUGGCCAAGUUGAGCGAGUCAAUCAAAUCCUUGAAGAUAUGCUUAGGACUUGUGUCAUUUCCUUUGGCAUGAAGUGGGAAGAUUGUAUUCCAUAUGCCGAGUUCUCCUACAACAACAGCUUCCAAGCGAGUUCGGGCAAGGCCCCAUUCGAAAUUCUAUAUGGCAGAAAGUGCCGUACUCCUCUCAAUUAGUCCGAGACUGGUGAACGCCAACUUCUUGGCAACGACUUCAUCACAGAAGCUGAAGAAAUGUGUAAAGUCAUCCGUGAAAAUAUCAAAGCCGCGCAAUUGCGCCAGAAGAGUUACUAUGAUAGCAAGCACCGUGACUUGGCUUUCGAGAUUGGAGACCAUGUCUACCUCCGCGUCUCUCCAAUGAAAGGCACUCGUCGCUUCGAUAUCAAAGGGAAGCUUGCCCCUAGAUACGUGGGUCCUUUCAAGAUCUUUGGCAAAAGAGGCGAUCUCGCCUAUCAACUUGAGCUUUCAUCCAACUUUGCAAACGUGCACAAUGUGUUUCACGUGUCACAGCUUCGCAAGUGCUUCAAGACGCAUGAGCGCACUCUCAACUUCGAAGAGAUUGACCUCCAAGAAGAUCUGUCUUAUCAUGAGCACCCCGUAGUUAUUCUUGAAGAAACCGAGCACAAGACUCGCAACAAGUCAAUCAAAUUCCUGAAAGUGAAGUGGACACACCAUUCCGACCGAGAAGCCACCUGGGAGCGCGAGGAUCACCUCCGUUCCGAAUAUCCAGAGUUCUUUCAGUCCUAGAUCUCGGGACGAGAUCCUCUUGUAGUGGUGGAGUGUUGUAACACCCCGGAUGUAACUUUCCAUAUUUGUAACUCCAACUCUUGCCAUUUUCGGCCAUGUGUUAUGAUAUUCCCUCCGUGGUUGGGUUUUUUUUCGUUUUGCAUUUUGUUCAUGUCAUGCAUCUCAUAUCAUGUCAUCAUGUGCAUCUCAUUUGCAUACGUGUUCGUCUCAUGCAUCUGAGCUUUUUCCUUGUUGUCCGUUUCGCAAUCCGACACUCCCACAUGCACCCGGCGCACCCCUCUUGUCUCUUUUCAUGAUCAGGAGAAAAACAUUCUCGGAGUGGACUGAGGUUUGCCAAGUGGCCUUGGUGCACCACCGGUAGACCACCUGUCAAGUUUCGUUCCAUUUGGAGGCCGUUUGAUGCUCCAACGGUUAACCGGGUAGCCGCAAAGGCCUCUUGUGUGUUGCAGCCCAACACCCCUCCAAAACAGCCCAAUAACCCAUCUAAACCCCCUCCAUGCUCUCCAUCGUCGGAUCAUGAUCGUGUGGGCGAAAACCGCACCUCAUUUGGAGUCUCCAAGCUCCCUCUACCUAUAAAUAUGUGACCCCCCCCCAAUUUUUUUCACAAUCCAAACCCUAGGCACCGCUCCCCUCGCGCCGCUGGACAUGUCCGGGCAACGCCGAACGCGUCCUCCACCGCCUCCGCACCACUCCCGCAUUGCCAUGUGGCACGCCGCCGCUUCCCACCGCCGCCGGCANNNNNNNNNNNNNNNNNNNNNNNNNNNNNNNNNNNNNNNNNNNNNNNNNNNNNNNNNNNNNNNNNNNNNNNNNNNNNNNNNNNNNNNNNNNNNNNNNNNNNNNNNNNNNNNNNNNNNNNNNNNNNNNNNNNNNNNNNNNNNNNNNNNNNNNNNNNNNNNNNNNNNNNNNNNNNNNNNNNNNNNNNNNNNNNNNNNNNNNNNNNNNNNNNNNNNNNNNNNNNNNNNNNNNNNNNNNCGGAGCUACCUCGCCGACGUCUUCCCCGGCCAACUCCGGCCACCACCGCACCAUCUCCGGCGAGAUCUCGUCGGGGUGGACGAGAUCCACCCGUUCCUCGAACCAAACAGCCUCCCCGCGUCCUGAUCCACUCCGUCUCGGAACCAUCUCGUCCCGCGUUGACUUUCGCGGAGGUGAAAUUUCACCAAGUCCCGAAGCUCUCUGAUAUUUUUAUGCCAUGUUAAUCUUGCCAUAACUUCAUGCUCGGAUAUCCGAUUUGUGCAUAUAAUAUGUCAAAAUGUUCAUAAUGAGAUGAUCUUAAUUUUGUUCCAUUGUGCCAUGCUUGUUUGAGGUCAUCUAGAUGCCUAAAUAAUCGUUGCAAGGGUGCUAUAUGAUGUUAACUGUUGUCUGUUAACAGAACUUGGUGAUUUGUCUUUUUCAUUGCAUUUUAUGUGUGCAUCCUAUGAGCAUGAUCUCUACAGGUGUUUUGAUCUACAACAUGCCAUAUUUAGAGUGGUGCUUGCCAUGUAGUUUUUUCAUCAGUGUGGUGGCUAGCACAACCAUGCUAACCAGGCUUCGUGAUGUUGCUGAUUUCAGUCCCUGUUCUGCUGUUAUUUUGAUGCCAUAUAAACUUGAUGCUACAGUGAAAUCCAUGCUUGUUUUGGGAUACUUCAGUAAGGAUGUUUUAAACAUAUGGUUAUGCUCUAUCCAUCCAUUCUCCUGCUUGCAAUUAUGGAGUAAUCUAGCAUGUCAGUUUCUUGCUCUACUUUUGCUAUAAAAUGUUCCUGGCAGAAUGUUAACAUGCUAAUCAAUUUUGUGAUGGUUGUUGCUAGCGAUCCAAGCAUGCUAUGAACUUUUUCUUGCCAUGGUUAGUUUCAUAAACAUGUCUUGUUGCUGACGCUAUUCUUAUCUUGUCAUGCAAUGAUUUGUGAUGAGUGAAUCGAGCUCGCAAAGAUGCCUUCAUAAUUCUGUUAAUGCCAUGCUCUAUUUUCUGCUAAGUCUGAAUCUGUUAACGAAACUUGCUAUGUUUACAUGGGUGCCAUCAUAUCUUCUGGUCCUUUUUGGCUCAUGGUCAGUAAGAGACUUUUGUUCUAUGCAUUUAGUAGUAUCAUGCCAUGCCUUAAGUUUCUAUGAUAUAUUCCUUUAGCAUGAUGUUUGCUUACCCUAAACAUUGCUUCCUGAUGCUGUUUCUGCCAUGUUAGUAUUUUCACCCAAGUCUGUGGUGCUGUUAUCUCUUGUAGAUCACUGCCAAAUGCUUUGUUGCUAUGUUGGAGUGCAGUAGCUCCUUUUCUUAUUGCAUUCUAGAUGACAUCAUGCUGUUAAUCGCAGAAUUGUGUCAUUUUGGUUUUGCUUGCUAUUUGCAAACCGUGCAUCCGUUUCCGGUGAUCUUUAUAUCAACUUCAACCGAAAUCAUCUCAUCUUUCCAGCGGCAUACUUGGUUUACCAAGUUGAUGUCUUAUUCAUCAUUUUCCUUCCGGAGCAUGCAUAUGCAUUGCAUAUCACAUCUCGCAUAUCAUGCCAUGUAUUGCCUCAUGUUGCUUGUGCAUUGCACUAUGAGUGAUUGUGAUUCCAUUGCUUGUGUUCUUGCUUUGGGUAGAGCCGGGAGACGAGUAAGUGAACUGUUGAGUACGCUAACGAGGAUCAACCUUUUGACAACUCCGGGAACUUUGCAGGCAAGAUGACCAUACCCUCGAUAUCACUUCUAUCUUUGCUUUGCUAGUUGUUCGCUCUAUCGCUAUGUUUGCGCUGCCUACCACUUGUUUAUCAUGCCUCCCAUAUUACCAUGUCAAGCCUCUAAGCAUCCUUUCCUAGCAAACCGUUGUUUGGCGAUGUCAUCGCUUUUGCUCAGCCCCUCUUAUAGCGUUGCUAGUUGGAGGUGAAGAUGAAGUUUGUUCCUUGUUGGAACAUGGAUAUUUUGGGAUAUCACAAUAUCUCUUGUUUAAUUAAUGCACCUAUAUACUUGGUAAAGGGUGGAAGGCUCGGCCUUAUGCCUGGUGUUUUGUUCCACUCUUGCGCCCUAGUUUCCGUCAUACCGGUGUUAUGUUCCUUGAUUUUGCGUUCCUUACGCGGUUGGGUAAUUUAUGGGACCCCCUUGACAGUUCGCCUUGAAUAAAACUCCUCCAACAAGGCCCAACCUUGGUUUUACCAUUUGCCACCUAAGCCUUUUUCCCUUGGGUUUUCGCGAGCCCGAGGGUCAUCUUUAUUUUAACCUCCCCAGGCCAGUGCUCCUCUGAGUGUUGGUCCAAAACGGGCAGACUGCGGGGCCACCACGGGGCAACUCGAGGUCUGGUUUUACUUGUAGGCUGACCUAUCCGUUGUGCCCUGAGAACGAGAUAUGUGCAGCUCCUAUCAGGAUUUGUCGGCACAGUCGGGCGGCUUUGCUGGUCUUGUUUUACCAUUGUCAAAAUGUCUUGUAAACCGGGAUUCCGAGACUGAUCGGGUCUUCCUGGGAGAAGGAAUAUCCUUCGUUGACCGUGAGAGCUUGUGAUGGGCUAAGUUGGGACACCCCUGUAGGGUAUUAUCUUUCAAAAGCCGUGCCCGCGGUUAUGUGGCAGACGGGAAUUUGUUAACGUCCGGUUGUAGAGAACUUGACACUUGACUUAAUUAAAAUGCAUCAACCGUGUGUGUAGCCGUGAUGGUCUCUUUUCGGCGGAGUCCGGGAGGUAAACACGGUUUGGGUUAUGUACGAAUGUAAGUAGUUUCAGGAUCACUUCUUGAUCACUUCUAGCUUCUUGACCUUUGCGUUGCCUCUCUUCUUGCUCUUACUUGCGUAUGCUAGCCACCAUAUAUGCUUAGUGCUGGAUGUAGCUCCACCACCUUACCCUUUUCCUACCCUUGAGCUUAAAUAGUCUUGAUCUCGCGGGUGUGAGAUUGCUAAGUCCCCGUGACUCAUAGACUCUACCAAAACAGUUGCAGGUGCCGAGGAUACUAGUGCAAGUGACGUAACCGAGCUCAAGUGGGAGUUCGACGAGGACCUUGGUCGUUACUAUGUUUCGUUUCCGGAUGAUCAGUAGUGGAGCCCAGUUGGGACGAUCGAGGAUCUAGCAUUUGGGGUUAUCUUGUUUUCAUUUGGAUUUGACCGUAGUCGGUCUAUGAGUGUAUUUUGAAUGGUGUAUGAAUUUAUUUAUGUAUUGUGUGAAGUGGCGAUUGUAAGCCAACUCUCUUUAUCCCAUUCUUGUUCAUUACAUGGGAUUGUGUGAAGAUGACCCUUCUUGCGACAAAACCUACAAUGCGGUUAUGCCUCUAAGUCGUGCCUUGACACAUGAGAGAUAUAGACGCAUCGUGGGCAUUACAGAUAUGCCGUUGGCAGGAUGACUAAGAUUCGUCACAGCAAGCUCUACAUCGACGACGCUGGCUGGGGCCCCGAGGCCGACUCAAUCGAGUAUGGGUAUCGAGUCCCCUUCGGUGGGAUUCACGUCUUCAUCGGCAAGAUUGGCGGAUCAGAGCCUGAGCCGGACAUCUGCACCGACAUCGUCGAGCUGGCUCGGUGCACGCAACCCGCCCGGAUCCAGCCCGACUGGAAGCAUGCUUUCAUCGGUUUCGUGCAUGGCACCGAUCUUUGGAAGGAUUCUAUAUCUGGAGGAGAGACUCUCGUCUACUCAGGUGAUGAGUCCUCGAUCGGAGAGACAUAGUUGAUUUAUCAGCUUCCAGACGGCGGGCUUGGGGGCUAUUCUGAUGGUCUCUGUAUUCCGGACCCCUAUGACCCACCGUGCGGGGCUGCUAUCUUCAUGGCUGGCACAUGUCUGGCUCUAAAGUCAUCAACACCUGCAGCUAUGACAUAUGGAUCGACUGCUGCUGUGACAGCUGGGGCUGACGACUCAGCUAGACCACCGGCUCAGGUCUUAUCAGAUCUCUUGGGUACUUUGAUAACUUUGCAAGCAACAGAGGUGACUGCAGCGAAUCAAGUAGAGCGCAAUGCAGAAAUUUUAAAGAUUCAUGCGAAGAUCACUAAGGCCCAGGAGGAUAUCAACGCAGAGAAUACUAGGAUGGCAGAGGAACGGACUCAGAUCACGGUUGAAUUAGAGCAUGUAAGGACAGAAGCUUGAUGUUUAAGUCUGUAUCAGAACGCCUGUAACGCAGUUCUUCGUAGGAGGCACUAGACUCGCUUGCGUUUGCAUUAUGAGCCCAUAAAUAUGUUUAACACAAUAGGGGCAGGGCCAAGCACUCCAGAUACGAGGGUGAACUCUAAGUUAAACUCGGAGGUGCCUGGAAGCCGAGCAACGGCUCAGCCUAGUCAGCCUAAGCUGGCACAGAGGGAGGAUUGGGCGCCUACCCCCCCCCCCCCAAAUCAGACACCGCUGCAGCGUUUCUGACGCCACCACUAGGACACUUUUCUAACCCGGUGGAUAACAUGUUAGCAGCGGCAACCCGACUGGUGGCUAUUACGAUCGAUGGCGAGUCACCAGUUGUGGUGGAGACUCGAACAUAGUUUAACUCCUUCAAACGGCUGUUGCACAGUAGGUGGUUUACUCAUACAGCCGUGAUCUUGUUCACUUGACUCCUCAUCCAAGUCGAAGUUACAUUCGGCAUGUUGAGUAGCCCGCAGUUUCCAGCAGAGAAUGGCAUCGUAACCCGCUCUAUGAUGAUAACCCACCCCAUGAUGAUAACCUACUAAUCAAUGAUGAAGCAAUUGUGGAUCAAGCUAGAGCUCGUCCUGAGUCAGAAGCGGCGGCCCAGUAGGGGGUUUGUUAGCAUCCUCCGAUGACUCAUUCGGCUUCGGUACGAGCUGGGAUGAUUUCCAGGAUGGUUGGAUUGCCGUGUUUGUUACCGGCUUUGUGUAAUGAACGUGUGCCUAAGGAUUUCAAGGGUCCUCGUAAAGUGCCUAAUUAUACAGCAGAUCUUCCUCUAGAGGGUUGGAUUUAAAGUUAUGAGUUAGCCAUGGAGAUGUUGGAUGUUAAUGAUGUGGUCUGUGACAAGUACUUUACUAUGAUAUUGGAUGGGCCUUGGCGCCGGCACCUUCGAGCUCGAGGUGAGACCAGAGGAGAACUUUGCAUAACCAUCCUCGGGGGUUGGGAGCGGGUCCUUGAACCCUCCCCUGCAGAUCGACUUAAGCACUUCACAAGCCCUGAGCUCGAGAGCUUAAAAUGCGUCGCGGUCCGCCACCGCCAUCGCGUCGGCGUUGGCAAGGAUCUUCUUCUCCCGGGCAUCUAGGCGAGCCGUCACCUCGGAGACAUGCUUAGAGUGGGAUGCCUAGGCCUCGACGACCUCCUUCGAUAGCUUGCUCAGGCGCUUGCGCUCUACGGCCUGCUCAACGACCACCUUCGACAGCGCGGAGUCGCGGUCCGCAAGCUUCACCUCACGGGCCUUGAGGCCGUCCUCCCGCUGCUAAAGCUGCUGGCCUGUUCCUCCUGGAGCGCCUUCAGAUUUGCCUCUGCCUCGCUACAACGCUUGACGGCUGCCGCUGCCUCAGCCAACGCGUCAUCGCGAGCCGCCCUAGCCUCGACGAUUUCCCUCUUGCUCUCCAUUGUAGAGGCCUCGGCCUGGAUCCAGGCUUCUUUGGUCGCUAUGUUGACCUGGAGCCACGCUGAGACGAGCCCCAGGAGCUCCUUAGCAUGGUGCCUGUCAGCAUCUCGGAGGUCCGCCUCAAACCGGCCGAGCGCGGCAUAAGCAUCAGCCAAGGCCCCAUCUCUAAUCAGGGCGCCACAGCUCGCAAGCAUGAGGGCCUGACGAGGGAGUAGCGCUGGCACAAAAGUUGGGAUAACGACCAAUGAGGCCAUGGUACGGUCGACUUCAGAUGCCAGGGUCUCCGGGCCCUUCUCCGUACCGCCCGGCUCCUGCGACACGGCAAGAGCGGCUGGCGCCACGACCUGCUAGAUUACGGGGGUCGGCACUGCCUGAGGCUGUGCCGCCACACGCCCCAAUUCGGGUUCAGCCAGCGGAGGAUGGGGCGUCGCCCCCUCCCCCGGGGUCGAGGCUGCUUCGACCUCGGUAGGAGGCAGUACUUGGCUAGCUCCCACGUCCUUGUGGGCCGGCCCUCCGGGCGGCACCGAUCAAGCCCUAGGAAGGGUGGCAUGCCAUGCGCCCAAGGGUUGCGUCGGGUCAGCACAGCAUGCCCCGCGCCCGCCAAGGCCGCGGCUGAGCGUCUAGGCCGCCCUCAAGACAGUCGGUACCUUUGUCAGCGUCCUUGACUUGGGGGUAUCCUGUCCUGCCUGCCUGCGGCCCACCACGUGGCUCCAUCAACGGCUUGGUGCGGCCCAACUUCAACAACAACACAACAAGACCCUCGCAGGGGGCCAAGCCUCGUGAGGGGGACAACGCCAAGAACCCUGAAGUAGUGGGCCUCCAUAGGAGGGUGAUACGUCUCCAACGUAUCUACUUUUCCAAACACUUUUUCCCUUGUUUUGGACUCUAACUUGCAUGAUUUGAAUGAAACUAACCCAGACUGACGCUGUUUUCAGCAGAACUGCCAUGAUGUUGUUUUAUGUGUAGAAAAGAAAAGUUCUUGGAAUGUCCUGGAAAUCCACGGAGGCACUUUUCAGAUUUAAUAAGAAUUUUUGGUGAAAUAAUUAGUGCCAGGGGCCCUAGGCCUGUCCACGAGACAGGGGGGCGCCCCCUAGGGCGCGGCCCCCUAUCUCGUGGGCCCCCUGGACCUCCUCCGACCUCAACUCCAACUCUGUAUAUUCCGUCUCGGGGAUAAAAAAAUCAAGGAGAAAGUUUCAUCGCGUUUUACGACACAGAGCCGCCGCCAAGCCCUAAUCUCUCUCGGGAGGGCUGAUCUGGAGUCCGUUCGGAGCUCCAAAGAGGGGGAUUCAUCGCCGUCGUCAUCAUCAACCAUCCUCCAUCACCAAUUUCAUUAUGCUCACCGCCGUGCAUGAGUAAUUCCAUCGUAGGCUUGCUGGACGGUGAUGGGUUGGUUGAGAUUUACCAGGUAAUCAAGUUAGUUUUGUUAGGGUUUGAUCCCUAGUAUCCACUAUGUUUUGAGAUUGAUGUUGCUAUGACUUUGCUAUGCUUAAUGCUUGUCACUAGGGCCCGAGUGCCAUGAUUUCAGAUCUGAACCUAUUUUGUUUUCAUGAAUAUAUGUGUGUUCUUGAUCCUAUCUUGCAAGUCUAUAGUCACCUAUUAUGUGUUAUGAUCCGACAACCCCGAAGUGACAAUAAUCGGGAUACUUCUCGGUGAUGACUGUAGUUUGAGGAGUUCACAUAUUCACUAUGUGCUAAUGCUUUGUUCCGAUUCUCUAUUAAAAGGAGGCCUUAAUAUCCCUUAGUUUCCGUAAGGACCCCGCUGCAACAGGAGGGUAGGACAAAAGAUGUCAUGCAAGUUCUUUUCCAUAAGCACGUGUGACUAUUUACGGAAUACAUGCCUACAUUACAUUGAUGAAUUGGAGCUAGUACUAUAUCACCCUAUGUUAUAACUAUUGCAUGAGGAAUCGCAUCCGGCAUAAUUAUCCAUCAGUGAUCCAUUGCCUACGAGCUUUUCAUAUAUUGUUCUUUGCUUAUUUACUUUUCCGUUGCUACUGUUACAACUACUACAAAAACCCAAAAACAUUUAUCUUUACUUUUGCUACCGUUACCUUUAUUAUCAUACCACUUUUGCUACUAAACACUUUGCUGCAGAUACUAAGUUAUCCAGGUGUGGUUGAAUUGACAACUCAACUGCUAAUACUCAAGAAUAUUCUUCGGCUCCCCUUGUGUCGAAUCAAUAAAUUUGGGUUGAAUACUCUAUCCUCGAAAGCUGUUGCGACCCCCUAUACUUGUGGGUUAUAAAGACUAAUUUCUGGUGUGUUGCCGGGAAGCAUAGCUCUAUUCUUUGAGUCACUUGGGAUUUAUAUCUUUUGAUCACUAUGAAGAACUUAAAAGACGAUUGAACUACUAUUUUGCCCUCAACUACGAGGGGAGGUAAGGAACUGCCAUCUAGCUCUGCACUAGAUUCUCCUUCCGUUAUUAGUAGGCUUGCGACACCUAAACCUGCUACUGCUAUGAAUUCUGAUAUGUCGCAUGUUAUUGAUGAUGCCACUUCUGCUAUGCAUGAUGAAACUACUUCUGUGCGUGAUACUACUUUGCCAUUAGGUGAAUUUCCUGAUGAACAACUUGCUAGAGUUAGGGGGAAUGAAAAUAUUGAAGAUCCUAUUACUGAUGAUAGUGAUGAUGAAGGUCCCCCCAAUGAUUAUGUAUUACCUGUUGUUCCUAAGGGUUAUGUUAUGAAUGAAAAAGCUACUAUGGAAAUUCUUGCUUCCAAUGAUAGAAAUGAUCUUAAGAAAUUAUUAGCUAAAUGGAAGCAGCAGUCUCUUAAUGCUAGAAUGAAACCCGAUCCUGCUUCUGCUACUUCACCUAUCUGUGUUACUGAUAAGGAUUAUGAAUUCUCUGUUGAUCCUGAUAUUAUUACUUUAGUUGAAUCUGAUCCUUUUUAUGGCCUUGAAUCUGAAACUGUUGUGGCACAUCUUACCAAGUUGAGUGAUAUAGCUACCCUGUUUACUAAUGAUGAGAAGUCUCGCUAUUUAUAUAUCAUGAAGAUAUUUCCGUUCUCAUUAAAGGAUGAUGCUAAGACUUGGUAUAAUUCUCUUGCUCCUGGUUGUGUGCGUAGUCCCCAGGAUAUGAUUUAUUACUUCUCUGCUAAAUAUUUCCCUUCUCAUAAGAAACAAGCUGCCUUGCGGGAAAUAUAUAAUUUUGUGCAAAUCAAAGAAGAGAGUCUCCCACAAGCUUGGGGGAGGAUUCUCCAGUUACUUAAUGCUUUGCCGGAUCAUCCUCUUAAGAAAAAUGAAAUACUUGAUAUCUUUUAUAAUGGACUAAUCGAUGCUUACAAGGACUACUUGGAUAGUUGUGCUAGUUGUGUUUUCAGGGAAAGAACAGUCGACGAAGCUGAAAUAUUAUUGAAUAAUAUGUUGACUAAUGAAAAUAAUUGGACUCUUCCUGAGACAAUUCCUAAAGCAAUUCCUGAACCAAUUGAGCCAACUCCUGAGCCUAUUCCUAAACCCACUCCGAAGAAGAGAGGUGUUUUAUUUCUCAGUCCCGAAGAUAUGCAAGAGGCAAAGAAAUCAAUGAAAGAAAAAGGUAUUAAAGCUGAAGAUGUUACGAAUUUACCUCCUAUUGAAGAAAUACAUGGUCUUAAUUUACCGCCUGAAGAACCACAUUGUCUUGAUAACCCGACACAGGUAGUAAAGGUAAAUUAUCUCUAUAGAUAUGAUAAAGUUGAAAUACCCUCUACUAAAUUUCAUAGCCCAUGCUUAGAUGAAUUUGAUGACUUUAUGGCUAGAGAAGAAAGUUUUAAUGCUUAUAUUGGUAGAGAGUUAAAGAAUAAUGCUUUCGAGAUAGGACGUGUAGGUGAUAAUCUGGCUAGAGUUAAAGAUGAACUUCACUGCGUUAGCAAAUAUACUUCUAUGGUUGCUACUCAAGCUGAGCAAGUACUCAAAGCUCAAAAUGAUUUGCUUGAUGAAUUGAAUAAUAAAAAUGACUUUGCUGUUAGAGUGGCUACUAGAACUUGUAGAAUGACCCAGGAACCUUUGUAUCCUGAAGGCCACCCUAAGAGAAUCGAGCAAGAUUCUCAGAGAAAUAAUUUAGAGGCACCUAGUUCUUCUAAAAAGAAGAAGAAGAAAAACGAUAGAACUUUGCAUGCUUCUAGUGAACCUACUGUAGACAUUCCUGAGAAUGCCAAUGAUAUUUCUAUUUCUGAUGUUGAAACUCAAUCAGGUGAUGAACAUGAACCUAGUGAUAAUGUUCAUGUUGAUGCUCAACCUAGCAAAGACAAUGAUGUAGAGAUUGAACCUGCUGUUGAUCUUGAUAACCCACAAUCAAAGAAUCAACAUUAUGAUAAGAGAGAUUUUGUUGCUAGGAAGCACGGUAAAGAAAGAGAACCAUGGGUUCAGAAACCCAUGCCCUUUCCUCCUAAACCAUCCAAGUCAAAGGAUAAUGAGGAUUUUGAGCGCUUUGCUGAAAUGAUUAGACCUAUUUUCUUACGUAUGCAUUUAACUGAUAUGCUGAAAGUAAAUCCUUAUGCUAAGUAUAUGAAGGAUAUCAUCACAAAUAAAAGAAAGAUACCGAAGCUGAAAUUUCCACCAUGCUUGCUAAUUACACUUUUAAGGGUGGAAUACCAAAGAAACUUGGAGAUCCGGGUGUUCCAACUAUACCGUGCUCUAUUAAAAGAAAUUAUGUUAGAACUGCUUUAUGUGAUCUUGGAGCCGGUGUUAGUGUUAUGCCUCUCUCUUUAUAUCAUAGACUAGAAUUGAAUAAGUUGACACCUACUGAAAUAUCUUUGCAAAUGGCUAAUAAAUCAACUGCUAUACCUGUCGGCAUUUGUGAGGAUGUGCCUGUUGUGGUUGCAAAUGUCACUAUCUUAACGGACUUUAUUAUUCUUGAUAUUCCCGAGGACGAUAGUAUGUCUAUUAUCCUUGGUAGACCUUUUCUUAAUACUGCAGGGGCUGUUAUUGAUUGUAACAAAGGCAAUGUCACUUUUCAUGUUAAUGGUAAUGAGCAUACGAUACACUUUCCGAGGAAACAAUCUCAAGUUCACAGCAUCAAUUCUAUUGAAAAAGUUCCAACUAUCAUUUUUGGAGGUUUUGAAUUUCCUCUCCCUACUGUCAAGAAAAAGUAUGAUAUUCUUAUUGUUGGGGAUUUUCAUAUCCCCGUUGAGGUAACUUAGUGUUAUUCAAAAUUCCUCCGGUUCCGUGUUAUUCGGAAUGAGUUUGUUAACAAGACUUGAUCAACCUUGUUAGUGGAUUCAUUUUGAUGAUCACGAGAUGGAUGAAACUAGAAGGCACAACCUUCUGUACCCUCUUUUUACUUUCAGUUAUUUAGAAUAAAUAAAGCAAAAAUAGUAUUAUCCGUUUGUUUUCUGAAUUAUCCGUGCAUUAAAAAAAUAGUCCGAAAAUAAAAGUGCUCCAAAUGCCCUGCAAAUUUAGUAUGAUUUUUUCUGGAAUAUUUGAGGAUUUUAGGCACUAAAAACACUGCAGGAGGGGCAAGCACCAGGCCACGAGAGAGGAGGGCCCCCCCUGUAGGGCGCGCCCCCUGUCUCGUGGGCCCCUGGUGGCCCCCUCCACUUAUGCCAGCACCCACACACUUCAUCUUCUACCCAAAAAAAAUCCCCAUCUAGCUCAAGCACGAGUUCUAGCUUGUUUUGCUGCGAUUUUCGAUCUCUUAGCUCAAAGCUCCAUUCGCAAAACUGCUUUGGGAGAUUGUUGCUUGGUAUGUGACUCCUCCUUUGGUCCAAUUAGUUUUUGUUCUAGUGCUUUAUUCAUUGCAAAUUUUUGCUGCAUAGGUGACCAUGUUCUUGAACUUGCAUGUUAAAUUUUUGAGGUCCCAAGCAAUUCCAAUGCAUGAUAUAGGCUCUAGGAACUUUUAGGAGUAGUUGCUAUCAAUCUUGUUUAGUUUUAUUCACUUUUAUUUCAAAGUUACUAAAAUUUCAGAAAUUUUCAGAAAAUGUUAAGGAGGCUCUUUAAAGGCUCUUCUAGCCAAAGCUCUAAGGAAAAACAAGACAAAGAGAAGGAAAAAUCCAAGUAUAAUCUUCCUCACUUAGCGCAAGUACGGUCAUGUGAAUGGCCGUGUGAGGAUUUCUUGAAAUAAGCCGGAAUUCAUGAAGACUUCUAUGCUUUAAUCGGGACAACAGGCCUCACCGGUUUCAUGAACGACCGAAUCGAUCAGUAUCUCUUACUCACCAAUACUUUCGUGCAAAACUUUUAUUAUUAUCCUAAGAAGUCACCGCCUGCAGUAUCAUUUCAUUUAUAUGAUGAAUUCAAAUAAAUGUCUUUAUGUCAUUUUUGCGCGGUAUGUAGGAUACCUUAUGAGGGAGAAUUAGAGGAACCCCAUCGUGAAGAUGUGGAUGGCUUCGUUAAAACUAUUGCUGUAGAAGAGCCAAAGAAGGGCUUUGAGGCAAAAGUCUCUAGCAUACACUUUCCUGUUUUACGCUACUUUGCCAUAUUUGCUAGUAUAUGAUUGAUUGGUCGUGGGAAUAGUGGAAAUUUGAGCAUUCUAGAUAUAAUUAUUCUUCAACAUGCUUUGCUGGGAGACAAUACUUUUAGUAUGGGUGUCGUCGUUGCUAAACGGCUAGCCCUGAAUCGUACAAAAGGCCCCAUAUUUGGAGGUAUCUAUGCUGCACGUCUUGCUGAACAUUUUCAGAUACCCAUUAGGCACCUUGAGGAGGAGGAGACAAAAUUACCUCCUCACAUUUUAGAUUACAAGAGCAUGGUAGCACACAAGUUUAUUGUUGACAAUGAAGAGAAGAUGCUCCUGUAUAGACUUAGAUUCAAUAAGAAACACUUUGAGUUCAUUAUUUUGCAUGCACCUCUGUUAUUUGAUUUGCUUGCAGAAAGUCGUCUUGUCACGCCGGAGGCGGUGAACAACCAUCUAGCCCAAGCUUUUACUCCGGAACCUGAACCUGAGCCAGAACCUGAAUUGGACCCUUAUCGUGCAUCAUCUGUCCAGUGGGAUCCAGAGAUGACCAGCCCAUGGUAUCCGAAUUACACCUCCCACUACACCGGGGAGAGUAGCGGCGUCCUUGGUAUUAAAUCAACUUAGGCCAAAAGCCUAAGCUUGGGGGAGUACGUAUUUCUCACCGACUUUACAUUCAUGUUCACACACUAGUCGUCGGUGCUCAUACUCUUUCAUUGUAUUAUCCAUGUUAGCUUAAAUUUCUUUUUCUAGUUUUCUUCUUGUGUGUUGGAUAAACCUUAAGAAAAACCAAAAAAAUUAGUUAGUUUAAUUUCCAUGCUUGUAGUAGAAAUUAGAAUGAAAACCCAAAAAGAUUUCUCGUUCUUCUUUUACUUGUUGGGAGCUUUCCCGUGUAAAUAGUUUUCUUUUCUUUUCUUUCUUUUGGGGGUCGAGAAGACCAUAUUGAAAAUGCUUAGUGGCUCUUAUAUGCAUGAUUGUUUAUUUAAUUCGGAGCCCAUAUUACUUGUCUUCUCUCUUGAGUUGAAUGCUUGCAGAUUCCAGCUUAGUCCAAUGCACGUGCACUCUUAUUAUUAUACACAUCGUUCGGUCGUGCAAGUGAAAGGCAAAAAUGAUGAUAUAUGAUGGACUUAUUGGGAUGAGAAAAGCUGGUAUGAACUCGACCUCUCUUGUUUUUGUAAAUAUGAUGAGUUCACCAUUCCUGAGUCAGCUAUUAUGAAGUAAACAUAUUUGCAAUGACAUUUAGAGAUUAUAGUUUCUUGUGCCAUGCUUGAUUAGCUAUGCGUUAUAAUGGUUUACCUUGCGUGCCAACAUGCUAUUAGAAUGAUUAUGAUGUGGUAUGAUGAGAUGGUAUCCUCCUUUGAAUGUAUUAAGUGACUCGACUUGGCACAUGUUCACGCAUGUAGUUGAAUCAAAUGAACAUAGCCUUCAUGAUAUUUAUGUUCAUGGUAGAUUAUAUCGUACUCAUGCUUGUACUUGGUGUAAAUUAAUUUUAAUGCAUGUUUACGACUGUUGUCGCUCUCUUAGUUGGUCGCUUCCUAGUCUUUUGCUAGCCUUCACCUGUACUAAGCGGGAAUACUGCUUGUACAUCCAAACUCCUCAAACCCCAAAUUUGUUCCAUAUGAGUCCACUAUACCUUCCUAUAUGCGGUAUUUACCUGCCGUUCCAAGUAAAUUUGUAUGUGCCAAACUCUAAACCUUCAAAUGGAAUUCUGUUUUGUAUGCUCGAGCAACUCAUGUUUCAACUAGGGCUGCCUAUAUCUUCCAUGCUAGGUGGGUUAUUCUCACAAGGAGUGGACUCCGCUCCUCAUUCACGAGAAAGGUCCGGUAACCGGGAUGCCCAGUCCCAUGACCCAAAAAGAUCAAAGCAAAUCAAAAUAAUUAAACAAAACUCCCCCAGGACUGUUGUAUGUUGGAGGCACUCGUUGUUUCGAGCAAGCCAUGGAUUGAUGCUUGCUGGUGGUUGGGGGAGUAUAAACCUUUACCAUUCUAUUUGGGAACUCCCUAUAAUGCAUGUAGUAUGGAAGAUACAGCCAUCUCAUAGUUGUUGCGUUGACAGCAAAAGUAUGCCGCUCAAAAUGUUAUUCAAUCUCUAUUUUAAAAUCGAGCUCUGGCACCUCUACAAAUCCCUACAUCCCUCUGCGAAGGGCCUAUCUAUUUAUUUUUAUGUUGAGUCAUCACCCUUCUUAUUAAAAAGCACCCGCUGGAGAGCACACUGUCAUUUUCAUUCAUUACUAUUGGUUUAUAUUGGGUAUGACUUGACUGGAUCUCUUUUACCAUGAAUUACAAUGUUUAGUCAGUCCUUGAUCUUUAAAGGUGCUCUGCAUUUAUGUUUUGCAGUCUCAGAAAGGGCUAGCGAGAUACCAUUUUGUUAUAUCAUGUUAUGAUUAUUUUGAGAAAGUGUUGUCAUCCGAGUUUUAUUAUUAUGGCUCGCUAGCUGAUUAUGCUAUUGAUAUGAGUAAUUGUGAGACCUAUGUGUUCACUACAAAAAAAUACACUUCCGUGAUGAUACGUGUUUGUCACAGUAGGUCGCGUUUUUUGUCAUGCAUGUACAUCCAUGAUAAAUUUAUGACAGAAUCAAGAUAGUCAUACCUGUGCUAUCGUAGAAGUGUUCCAUGACAUUACCAGAAUUAUCAUCACGGAAGUGUCCACUUCCAUGACGAUAAAUCGCGCGUCACAGAACUGCUUUCAUCAAGGGUGACCGACACGUGGCAUCCACCGUAAUGGAACGCUGUUAAGCUAUCGGGUCGGGUUUUUGGAUCUGAUAAUCCGUUAACAGCCCCGACCAAUGGGGAUUUUCCACAUGUAAAAUCAUCAUUUGCUGGAGGAAACACGUGUCGGCUCACCGUUUGGACAGAUGUCAUCCACUCAUUGGACAGAAGGCGUCUAUGAUACAUCGACACAUGGCACGGCCCAACAGAGGCCCAUUCGUGUGAAAAGGCCGGCCCGUUUGACUUGGUCAAAAGGUGGCGGCCCGGCCCAUGGAAAGCCUGUUAAAGGCCUGUUCGCAUAUAGCCCAUUUACAGCCCGCUAACCCAAGGCCCGUUACACCCUAUCCGAAUUAGGCCCAGUAGCGUCAUCUGGGCCAUCCAAUAUGAUUUCAGCCUGUUUUUACUUCUGGCCCAUGUUUGGCCCAUGACGUCUUUCGACCCAUAUGAGGCCCUAUGUAACUCUUGGCCUAUUAACGGGCUGUGGUGAAACUGGCCCGCAAUGAACAGUGUAUCACUUUACACCCACUAACGGCCCGUGGUGAAACUGGCCCGCAAUGAACAGUCUAUCACUUUACACCCACUAACGGCCUGUGGUGAAACUGGCCCGUAAUGAACAGUGUAUCACUUUAUGCCCAUUAAAGGCCCGUUAUUCAGUUGGGCCGUUUCCAGCAAAUGUUAUCUUUCGGCCUUCUCAGAACCCAUUUAUUCUUGGGCUCAUUUCUAGCAUUCGUUUACUUACGGCCCGUUACUGUCAUUUUCUGCUUGUGGGCCAAAUUCAGGCUAUGGUUACAUCGGCCCGUUUGUGGUUCGUUAAUACGUUCGGCCGUUUUCAUAGCGUCAUCAAAUACGGCCUAUUAACGAUGAUCCGUUAUGGUCAUAUGGCCUGUAUAAGGCCCAUUGAUGAUACGUCCCGUAGAAGGCCCAUUGUUUCUACGACCCGUAGAAAGCCCAUUGUUUCUACGGCCCGUAGAAGGCCUACUGUUUCUACUACCCGUAGAAGGCCCACUGUUUCUACGGCCCAUAGGAGGCCCAGUGUCACUACAGUAAAUAUUAGCCCAUGGUUAUUGUGGCCUAGUUUUAAAAAGAACUGCACUGACUACAAGCAAACAAAUAAACAAGACAACAAGGAAAUAAAUAAGCAAGCAACUUAUGCUAGCCUAUCACGGCUGUUACACAUAUUACAUCCACUGGGCAUCAAAGUUCGCCACCAGUGCAAAUAUAGGGAACACAGCAGCAUAUCAUAUACACUGGUUGUCAAAGUUGGCGACUAGCGCAAAUAAACGCCGCAGCAAAACAAAUCCAGAACUGAAACCACUUCAGAAGAUCUCAAGAAACAAUAUCCUAGGUACCCAUAAUGCUAGCAAGAUGCUUAGCAAGCUUAUUAACUUUCUCUUGUUUGGCGCUUAAAUCCUCCAGCGCUUGCUGUUGCACCAGAAAAUAUGCAUCUGAAUUCUGCAGGGACUUCCUCAAUCCUUCAGCUUCCUGUCACAGCACAUUUGAUAGAUGUCUUUCAACUUGAAGUUGAGACUCAAGAAGACAAACUGAUUCAGGCAGCGAGUUUGAAGAGCUUGUGCCAGCAGUAGUGGCCAGUAACUCGAACACUACAUCAAGACAGGACUUUUGGGUUCCCUGACUGUCGUCAAGAUAGUUUUUAUCAGCUUUCUUGGAGACCAACAGGGAUGUAUCACUAUCUUGAACCUUAUCUGCAUUACUUCCUUUACCAUUGGAUAAACUGUUCUCCAAUAUUUUGUCUGCAUUCUAAAAUAGAAACAAGCAGACACAUCACAUGUUUACCAUGUUGUAUAUGAAACUCAUUUUGGUAAAUGAGUUCAGUAGUAAAGUGGACAGGAUAACAGCAUGAAACAAACAUAUAUCUAUGUGCCAUGGUCACUUUAUGGUCUAUAUCAUUCUAGUUUUUGUUGCCAAAUCAAGAUAGAGGCACAGUUCAAAUAAUAUUUGUUCAAUACAAAGCAGAAUAGACAGAAUAUAAGUGUGGGUAACUAUAGAGCAAUAACAACACUUGUAAUGUGCAUGACAUGAGAACAUAACUGUUUAUUCAAUUGAAACUGAAAUCAACAUAGAGCAGGUUACAACAACAAACCAGUUAUAGAAACAAGUUUAAAACAUACCCGUUGCGCCAUUGGAGUUUCAAUUCCACCCUUCAAAUUUGAAAAUAGUUGGUAUGAGUAAAUACAGUAAUGCAAGAGCAAAGGAGUAUGAACCGUAGCUACAGAACCUGACCUGAGAACAAAUCUUCUUCUCCUUUAAGCGUUGAGUUGGGAUUCGGAGUGAUGGUCCUCGUGCUUUGGGCACUACAGUUCCCUUACUAACCGCUCGUGUUUGGGUGCUCUGUGGUGGAGACGGUGCUGUGUCAACUGGAACUGGGUUACUAUCUGCCGGGGUUGGGGUUAAAAGGGGUGUAGCUGGUUCUUUGUCCAACUGGGUAGGGGUACAAUCUGCGAGAGUCUGGGUUAUGUGUGGUGGAUCUGGUCCUUGGGUAAGUACAACCAUGGUUCUAUCUGCAUCAACUGGUAGCACUAUCUUUUUUGAAGACCGUGUUGUUACUCCCUUAGAUACUGCCAUCACGCUCUCUAAUUAAAAUGGCUGAUAAACAAGAAAAGUAAUUGAAAGUAUAGACAUUGUAUGAUAGACAGGUGCAAUGGAUAGUGGGGAAUAAAAGAGGGCAUGAAAUAAUUCAUAUUUAUGUUGUCUAACCAAACAUGAUAGCAUGACACAAUUUCACAUAUAUGAUGGCUAACUAAACAGGAUAGCAUGACACAAUUUCACAUUAUGAUGGCUAAAUAAAAAAGAUGGAAAGACAUAGUUCAAAAUAUGAGACUAUGUAAACAGGAUGACAUGACAUAACUAUAUAAUGUGUUUAUUAAAUAGGUUGGCAUGCCAUAAUUCACAUACAUUCAUGGAUAGAAUGCCAUAAUUCUAAAUAUGAUGACUGUAAAGACUAAAGAGGAUGAGAUGAUAUAACUAUAUGAUGUCUUUAUUAAAUGGGUUGCCAUGCCAUAAUUCAGAUAGAUGAUGUGUAUGUACUAUGUAAACAUGAUGGUAUGAUAUAAUUCAAAUAUAUGAUUUAUAUAGUAAGCAAGUAAGCAUAUGACAAUCUAUAUAUGAUGUAAAAACUAAGCAAUGCAAGACAACAUGCAUGACAUGGGUAAUAUAACCCUGCCAAGUUUGAGCAUAGACCUCAGGGGGGAAAUAGGACUGGUCAUCAGUCUCUGUAUCCUCCUCUCAGGAGCUCUCUGUAGCCAGCAAGAUGUCUGCUUCAGCAGGUAGCAUUGUCUGCUCUGAAUACCUUGUUUUCACUCCAGAUACUUCCAUCACCGCUUCAAAUGGCUGAUACAUAGGAAGAGUAGUUGAAUAUACAAACAUUGUCGACAAAUGGAACACGUAAUACAAAAAAAUGAUAGGAUGAUAUAAUUCACAUACAUGAUGAUUGGCUAAACAGCAUGGCAUUGCAUAAUUCACAUAUAUAAUGCCUUUGCAACAAGAUAGCAUUGUAUAAUUCACAUAUAUAAUGUCUUGCAACAAGAUGGCAAUGCAUAAUUCACAUAUAUGGUAAUUAGACACUGAACAGGUGGCAUUCACACAAAGCAUGUCUAAACUAAUCAAAUGACAUAGCAAUGCAAGACACCAUACGCACGAUAUGAGCAACAUAACCCUACCAAGUUAGAGCAUACACCUCGGGGGGGGGGGGAUAUGACUGGUCAUCUGUCUCUGAAUCCUCCUCUGAGGAGCUAUCCGUAACCAGCGAGAUAUGCGCUUCGUCAGAUAGCAUAGUCUGCUCAGAAGACCUUGUUUUCACUCCAGAAUUUGCCAUCACCAUGUCAAAUGGCUGAUGCACUACUACAAAAAGGGCUAUAGAUGGAAUGGCCACUAAUGGCGCUCCUGUGAUGUGGUGCGCCAUUACUAUAUUCUAAUGGCACACCAUGUAUCAGUGCGCCAUUAGUAAUAUAUUACUAAUGGCGCACCUGGUGUGUGGUGCGCCAUUAGUAGUUCUGAAAAAAACAUAAAUUUUUUUUGUUACUAAUGGCGCACCGUUGCAUAGUGCGCCAUUACUAAUUGACAUAGUAAUGGCGCACCACAUCCGUCGUGCGCCAUUAGUAGUUUUAAAAAAAAAGUAAAAAAAAAAAUAAAAUUUUUUUGUUACUAAUGGCGCACCAUGUCUCGGUGCGCCAUUACUAGUUUUAACUAGUAAUGGCGCACUUUCCACUGGUGCGCCAUUACUAAGUUUUUUCAAAAAAAAUCAAAAAAAAUAUCAAUUUUUUUUAUUUUUUUUGAAAACUAGUAAUGGCGCACUGUGGGUGUGGUGCGCCAUUACUAGUUAAACUAGUAAUGGCGCACCACCCCACGGUGCGCCAUUACUAACUUGCCCCAACACCGAAUGCACCCCCCCUGUGGAUCGCCUUUUCAGUUUAAAAGAAAUAAAAGAAAAUGAUGGAAAUGUAAAAAAAAUAAAAAUAAUAUGUUUCCCAUGUGAUAUGUGCUCUAGUUUUUGGGAAAAUUUACAAAUAUGAAUUUCAACUUUAUUUGCAAAAUCUCUCUGGAAAUUUGUAAAAUGGGCAUAACUUUUGCAUACGAACUCGGAUGAAAAAGUUUUUUAUAUGAAAAAUCAUCUACUUGAAAAGUUACAUCCAAAUUUAACUAGGGGAACCCCGUUAAACAUUUUCAAAAUCCCCAAAAACCUAACAGAAAAAAAGUUACGGGGCUUUCAAGAUCUAGCGGCAAAAAAAUUCAAAAAAUUUCAAACUUACUAGUGGCGCACCGUGGAAGUGGUGAGCCACUAGUAACAGAAAAAAAAAUUGGUUUUGAAUUUUUUUUGAAUUUUUUUUUUUCAAAAAAUGAUACGUAAUAUGAUCGGGAAGUUUGAAAUAUUUUUCAAAAUUUCAUCAUAGUCAUGAACAUGAACAAAGUCCUAGACAUCAACGAGGUAUAACAGGAUUGAUAUGCUAGAUAUAUCAACAAGUGCCUGUGAAGUGAGCUGUUGCUGGGGUUGGAUAGAACUUUGAAGUUAAGCGUGCUUGGGCUGGAGUAGUGUGAGGAUGGGUGACCUUUCGGGAAGUUUGACCUAAGAUUAAGCAUAUUGACCCGAGAUUAAGCCAUAGUGAACUGAGAUUAAGAAAAAUUUGAAAUUUUUUUUAAUAAAAAUUGGGAAAAAAAAUUUAAAAAAAUUUCUGAAAAAAAUUAAAUUUUUUUUUGAAAAAAAAUGUUACUAAUGGCGCACUUCUAUGUGGUGCGCCAUUAGUAUACCAGAUACUAAUGGCGCACUUCUAUGUGGUGCGCCAUUAGUAUACCAGAUACUAAUGGCGCACUUCUAUGUGGUGCGCCAUUAGUAUACCAGAUACUAAUGGCGCACCGUGGGCUAUACUAAUGGCGCACUACAUGGUGCGCCAUUAGUAUACCAGAUACUAAUGGUGCACCAGUGGUGCGCCAUUAGUAAAAAAUACUAAUGGCGUGCUAGUAAUGGCGCACCGGUAGUGCGCCAUUAGUAGGCAAAACCGGUGCGCCAUUAGUAGGCCUUUUUCUAGUAGUGAUGCACACGAAGAGCAGUUGAAUGUACUAACAUUGUUGACGAAUGUAAUAUGUAACGGAAAAAAAGAUGGCCUGAUAUAAUUUACAUAUAAGAUGACUGGCUAAGCAGGAUGGCAUUGCAAAAUUCACAUAUAUGAUGCCUGGCUAAACAAGGUGGCGUUGCAUAAUUCACAUAAAUGAUGAAUAAACUAAACAGAUGUCAUUCGCACAAAGGAUGUCUAAACUAAGCAGAUGGACAUAUUUGAUGUAUAAAGUAAGCAAUGCAAGACACCAGAUGCAUGAUAUAACCAACAUCGGCAUGCCAAGUUAGAGCGAAGACCUCAGGGGGUAAAUAGGAGUUAUCUUCUCCAUCUGAAUCCCCCUUAGAACAGAUAUCUUCCUCUCAAUUACAAUCCGAAAUGCGUGGAGGGGGGGGGGUGCCUUUGCGCCUACCAUGGAGCGACGUCUGCAUGAAAUUAUAUUGCCACACAAGGCUCGUCUCUUUUGCUCUACAUGUUCAGUUCCAUUGUUUACAAUAACUGUCAUGCAUAGGAAUAAAACAUAGUGAGAUUAUGUAAGGAGUGCAUGCAGAAAUCCAGAGUGAUGGUAGCAACCUAUGGAUAGACCCAAAACCAAUAAUAGCAGGCAGAUAAUGGCUUUAGUUAAUAAAUACAGAUAAUGGCUUCUUUACUGUUUGUUUCCCACCCAUCAUGAAACUCAUAGUAGACACCGGAGAUUAACCAGAUAGUAGAUAGAUACUAUUGAUAGCGGCCCCGAUAUGUACCCCACAACCAUUUAAAAACUCAAGUUUGACCAUUAGUUUGGAGCUGACUCAGAGUCUAAUUGGUGAACAGGACGAUAAAGUAGGAUGUAAUAUUAAGCGAUGCAUAACGUAAGCAGACACGAAAGAGUGCGACCUCUCUUGCGGACCCGUGUAGUCCUUGAGGUCAUCUGCUCUGUUGAUGAUGGUAAUGCCGUUUUCAUGGCUUCCAGCGGCGGGGAAGAAGAUGUGAGGCGGCGAAAGACAGUCUGGAGGCCGGAUCCCUGCUCUGCUGGACCCUUCUAUCGUUGGAGUAGCUGAGCUGGGGUGGACGACGGCGCAGCAGGACCGGGACAAACCACGCAAGGUUUUCGUUGACAACUAUCUAUAAGAGAAGUAAUUUUGUAAGGGAUCGUUUGAAUUUGAGGAUUCCAACAAUGCAGGGAUAGGAAAUAGAUAGGAAUAGGAUAGGAAUGCACGUGCAAAACAGAGAAUUUAAAAACACAGGAUUUCUGCCAAUCUGGGUGUUUGAUUCACAACAAUUGGAAGAUCACAGGAUGCAAAGAAGCAUGGUGAGAUUAAGUCAAACCAGAAGAAAAUGUACGGUUAUAAUGCUAUUAUGCUACUAUCUCUUAGUCUUGUGCUUCAUGAAUAGGAAUUUGAAAAGGAGGACAAGUGAAAAUUAAAAUUCCUAUAUUUUUUCUUUCAAGGAGACACAAAAGGAACAAAUCCGUGUGCUGAGUGGACAAUAUAUAUAACAUGUAGAGUAAAAAAGAGAUGCAACAAGUGUACAACCUCUUUGGCGAAGCCAUGUCGAUCUCAGCGUGAUUGGGUUGGCCAGUGAGGAUGCUCCGGCUGACUUUGCUGUCGGAGGAGGGGAAGAAGAUCUUAGGCGUCUGGAGAUGGAGCCCGAGGUACUGCUCCACUGUGAUGGAGGGUUUCAUCGUUGGAGCAGCUCUGGUGAGUUGUACAACGCCGAGGCUGAAGCAGGACAAGAGAGACAAUGAACAACGUUAACCUGAGUGGAAUUCUAAUAGCAUCUCCAAUACAUGACGUAAAAUACAUAACCACAAAGUGCUAGAUGUAAAAUACAUCAGCCGCUCAUCUCUGAACUUAACUUUCGAAACUGAACUUAACUGUCGAAAUUGAACCUGAUGGUCGAAACUGAAUUAUGCUGUCGAAACUGAAUUUUGCUGUCGAAACUGAACGCACUAGCAAGGUGAGGCUACACGUCAGUUGAUUUUGUAGCCGUUGGAUACGAAAUCAAGGGCCUGCGGUUCAUCUUCAACCUCCACCCCCUAAGCCGCCAGCCACCACCGGCCAAACAGCAGCCCCCCGCCGCCCGCGGCCGGCGGUGCGCCGCCCCGCUCGCCCCGAAAACACUCCCCACCGCCGGUCCGCCGCCGCCCCGGCCAUCCCUCUAGGCCCCCCCGUGCCGAGCUUUUUCUCCGGCGAUCCCCAUGCCACCGCCCCGCCAACGCCCCGCCACCGCCGGCGACCACCGCCCCCAUUCUGAACCCUAAGAUAGAUAGUGGGGUACCUCUCCGGCGAGCCCCCUCCCUGCUGCGGCUGGUUCUUCCUUCACCCCGGCGAGCCCACCCCUUGGAAAUCGACUGACCCAAAAGUCGAUUCAGUUGACUGAAGUGUAGCCAAAUCGGAGCAGCAUCACAAGCAAGAGCAAGAGCGAGCGCAGUAGCGCGAGCAAGAGCAAUAGCAAGGGCAGACCAGGCAGGGGACCAAGAGCAAGAGCAGAGCAGCAGCGCGAGCGAGAGCUAAAGCAGCAGCAGCUCCUACUGAUGUGGACGUCGUCGCCGAGGAAGCGAUGCCGUGGAGGAAGUGGCCGGAGAUGCCGCCGUGGAUGGAGCCGCGCCAUGUCGGCUCGGGACCGAGCGCCGACAGCACCGUGAGAUCGAAUCAUGAAGAAAAUGCGGCGAUUAGUGUACAACCUCUUUGGUGGCGCCGAUUAGGCCGCAGCUUCAUCUGAGGAAACGGUGAUGAUGAUGCUCUUCCGGUGGUGCAGGUGAAGACGGUGGUGUGGGAAUGGAGGUGGCGCGAAAGACGAGGGGAACGUCGGGCACCUCCUUGGAGGUGGAGGACGGGGUGGCUGAACCGGCGGGACGAUGAGAUCGACGACGGAUCCUCAUCCCGUACGGUGGAUGAGGGACGUCGAGGUGUUGCUGUGGACGACGUCGUCGGGGAAGAAGCUCCGGCUGGGUGGCGGAUGGAGCAGGGUGUGGGGUUUUGUUGCGGGUUUUUGCGGCCUCGGUGUACGAAUGGGUGGGCGGAUGGGAUGGCAGUGGGGAACCAUGGCUUAGAGAUGCACUUGUCCGAAAUGUGGGGUAAGUUACGAAAGUACCCCCCACCGAUUUGAGGUGGUUCUUUCGGUUCAGGGGUACCACAGGCAUUUCGUGUGUCGGGAUUUCACAGGAGGUGGGAGUUUUCGCGCGCGUUGUAAUUUCAGAAUAGCAAGGCGCGGGUCGAGAUGGAGGGAGUUGUCGGAGCACAAUGAGACAAAGAUAUAUCUUAAAUAUUUCGGGCUAACAAGGCGCGGGUUGAAAUUUCCGGACAAGCCUAACGUGUACUAUACCAAAUCAAUGCGCACUACAAAUGUCAUUCAAAACUUUGAAUUCAUGUUAUGUUCAAUUAAAAUAUUUCGCUACGUGUAUAAUGCAUGCAACCUACUACUCAAAUGAACGUUUUAGUGCAUUCCAAACGUAUAUACUACCGCUUCAAUAUGAACUAAAUUUGAAUAAGAUCUAUAGUAAUGAUUGUUGUGAAGUCAAAGCAUUUGAAUUUGUUUCUCUGUUUUAGUAAGAUCUACAAUCAUCAUUAUUGUCAAGUUAAACCAUCAUUUGUGUAUUAUCUUCACAGCACACCACAUGAUCAGUAUCGAGUUACAUCUGAACUAUGUGUACUAUAUGAACUCGAACUAGAUUUUUUGAAUCCACUUUAUUUUGAUUUCAAAUCACAUUACAUUUCUAGCUCUAGCUAAAUCUUCAUAAUCUAAACCAUGUCUCAUAUGUAUAAUGUGUUUAUCACAUUAUGUAUGGUGCCCCCCCUACGCCUACAAGUAUUUAGAUGUGAGUUGCAAACACCACACAUUACCACAAAUUCAAAUAAAAUGUGAGAAUGUUCGAUAUAUAGUAUUGUUUAGAUUGCUCGAUAUUUAGUUGUAAGCUGCAAGCGCUGCACAUUAUCACAAAUUCAAAUAAGAUGUGAGAGUGUUUGAUGUAUAGUAUGGUUUAGAUUGUUCGGCAUUUAGUUGUGAGUUGCAAACGCCAUGCAUUAUCACAUUAUGGUAUAACAUGUGCACAUCACGUGUAUCACCGCUAUAUUCAUGCAUGCAAUGUUUAAAACACUAUGAUCUCCUAUUCAAAUAUAUGAAUUCGCUUUCAUAUCAAAUUAUGAUCUUUGUUAGUCUCUUACACCCACAUAGUCCUCUAACCUUUGUAGCUACCACUAACUUUCUCUCGUGCAUGCACACGCCUUGCUCGCCCUCCCCCUCCCUCGGCAUUCUAUCCACCAGGCACAUUCAUUUUUUCCUUUAGGUCGUUCUCCCAGAGUCUCCACAACUCCUUUCCGACACACACCGAUCGAUAAACCUCUCCAGCGAUGCCUGCCUACAGCAUACACACACAACUUCAAUCUCCUCCUUUAUGUGUCCUUGCCUCGUGUCUCUCAUAUGGUCAGGCACACGUGUAAACUCUCACUCCUCUUUUAACCGAUCUCACAACCGCACACUCCUCCCCCUAUCCAGCUAGUAGUUGGGCCUCUCGCACCACCUUCUAGCUCCAUUCUCUCUGUCCAUCCAUCUCGCUGGGCCUUAUUUGCCUCUAACAAAUGGACGUACACCGACCGAUCUCUCGCUAUACAUAUAGCUAGCUAGGUCCUUAUAACUCGUUUUUACCCACACAUCGAUCGAUCUACCUCAUUAGUUGUGUCUCUCCCUUCCUCCAACAAACAACAAUUGAUCUACCGAUCUAGUUAGGUUUGCUUACCAAACACAUGGUUCCCCUUCAUCAUCCAUGGAUGCGUCCCGACAGAUCUACCAUGCACAUGCACACACAGAAACACAUCCCCACUCUUAUUGAUAGCAUGGCAGUUCCACCCUCAGUUUGUCUAGUAGGCCUCUCCCAACAUCUCCGAGAAGCAACUCUAUCACCCAUCCAGCACUCUACCCCUCUCCCUCCCUCUCCCUCCCUCUCUCUCUCCUCUCUCUCUCUGUCCCAUCAUAUUUCCCGUACUUCAGUUAUGUAUGGAUGUCGACUGAUCUCCCUCAUGACAUAGCUGGGUCUCUCCUUCUCAACACAUAUACGAGUCGUUCUACCUCUAUAGUUAGGCCUCUGCCUACCCCUCCCCCCACCCCCUCCCCCCCACACACACUGAUACAUCAAGCGCUCUAGUCAUGUCUCGCUGCCACACACAAACUUGACAUGUGCCCUCUAAGGUUCCGGUAGGCCAGUCGCCCUAUAUCUUUGACUUGCACACACACACAUACACACACGCAAUUUCGAUGGCUCUCUUCAUCGAUCUCGCACCCACCCGUACUUGAUCCUCUCUUCGACUCUAUGAUAGCUAUGACCCCUCCCUCUCUUCUCGUGGAUUGCCCGACCCUCUAUGUAUGAUAUGGAUAGGCCUCCAUUUCACACACAUUGCAUGCAAAAUUUUGUUUGAGAUGUCAUCGACACAUAUUCCCACAAAUAAUUCACGAAAUCAACCCCCCACCCCACCCCACCCCCCACCACAAAACAAAAAACAC